Molecule: long non-coding RNA, 52766 nt
Filed under: Triticum aestivum (bread wheat)
Lineage: Eukaryota; Viridiplantae; Streptophyta; Magnoliopsida; Poales; Poaceae
Description: long non-coding RNA (TAES_LNC012467)
Source: RNAcentral
UGAUGGAUGUCGUCGAGCCCGGCUUACGGCGCUACCUGGAAGGUCAGGUCGCUCAGGCUCAGGCUCAGCAGCAGGUGGGAGAGAGCGACGCUUCUUUUGGUGAAGACGAGCUGUCUAUUAGCCGCACAAUGUCCAGUCUAAGGUUGAAACUGGUUUCUCUUUUGCAAGCGGCGCUGGUAGCCCUUCCGAGCCAAGAGCCUUAGAUAUCAAGUCUGUCUGGUGUACAUUUGUUUUAUAACUAAACGCUGCUGGACCGGUGUAACUCGAUGUAAACUGUAGCAUGGUGAAUAUUACAAAUGUUUAAAACUAGCGGUGGCAGGAUGAUGCUUUAAGAGAAGUCGAGAGAUGCUGCAAUGUUCUGUUACUCGAUUGGAAUUUACAGUGCAUUUCUUGUAUAUACUUCAUUUGCCAUACUUCAUUUGCCUUGUUUUACUGCAUCGAUAUUUCACACUGCACUUUCUUUGCUAGUUGGAUCUUGAAACACGGUAUAUAUCAGUUGCAUUUUUCUCACUUUCACGCUCAUAUAUCAGUUGUAUUCUUUUUUAUAACAUAUCAGUUGCAGUGUAUGAUGAUUCCAUACAUUUUAACAUAUAUCUCGCAAGGACCGCCUGGACGACGGCCGGGAGAGCGCCAGCGGCGGACGCCUGCUUCUCACUCAGGAGUGGGAGCCGAGGAAGAGGCACCCAUGCGGCAACGGUGACUAGGGAAGCGGUGGGCAAAUUUGGUGUUUUGACCCUUUUGCGUCGAGCUGACUCAGAUUUAAAAAAAAAUCGGGAUCUGAUCCUUUUCCUACGGCCGAGGCCUCUGGCGGUAGGCAACUUAUCCACGCCAGCGAAAGUGCAGCCCUACCGCCAAACUGGCCGACGGUAGCAUGUGCAACCCUACUGCCGAGGCGCCCGGCGGUAGGUGGAUACAAACACUGUAUUGAUACUUAGAACUUUUUUAUGAUAGGGCGUGCAAUCCUACCGUCAAGGUAGUUAUACUCUACCGCCAUCGACCUCAGCAAUAGGUCAGAUCUUGAUUUUUUUUUUGAACCAGGGUCAGAUUUGGCUCAAUUUUCACAAAAAGGGUCAAAACACCAAAUUUGUCCUACCUCGGUUGGUAGCUAUGGUCGUGGUGCCGGCGACAACUGCAGGCGAAAGCUUUGCCAGCCCAAGCGAUAGGGUAGGCAACACGUGGUCCCCGCAGCGAGGGCGAUCAGGAAAGGUGUUGGUAUUGCGGUAAGAAGGGCAAUCGGGCCGUGAGUGCCACAAAAGUAGCGUAAUGAGGCGGCCGCGACAAAUUUUGUCCAGGUGGAGGAGGAUGAGGGACCCAGCCUGACGAUGGCCUGCGUGAGUCCGUCCAGGAGGGGUUGGCGGUCGCGACCCUAGCUCAGUCCGGCCCCAAGCUUGGUCCGACCAUCGGAUCUCACGGGUGGCCACAUCUCCCUCAACAAGGAUAAGGCGGUGAUCACGCCCACACAUGAUGGCUACAGAUGUGGCGGUGAGGUCUGGUUCCUUGACACCGGCGCAACGAACCACAUGACCGGAUCGACUGAUGCAUACGCCGAACUGGACCGAUCAAUCUCAUGCAAGGUGCAAUUCGCGGAUGGAUUGGUUGUCAAGAUCCACGACCCCGAUACCGUUGUCUUGGCCAUGGAUGAGGAAGACCAACAGACGUUCACAGAUGUCUUCUUCGUCCCUACGCUCAAGAGUAGUGUCGUCAGUCUUGGCCAACUAGGCGAGAACUGGUACGACAUCGCCAUUCGCCAUGGAGUGCUCACUGCACGCGAUCAGCGCAGUCGUCUCCUAGUCAAAAGGUAACAUGUGCACCGAAUCGCUUGUACAAGCUUUCAUUUUGCCCUAUUUAUCCAGUGAGCCUUGCCAUGGGCCAUGUACAGCUCGGGCUCGGGCACCUACACUUCAAUGGGCUACGAAGGAUGGCGAGCGGAGGUUUUGUUUGUGGCCUACCGCACAUCGCGGACAUGGAUGAGUUUUGUGAGGGUGCCUCAUCGGGAAGCAGCGCUGCCUACCAUUCCGCAAAAGGCACAGUUUAGGGAGAAAAGGCCCGUGGAGCUGGUCCUUGGCGACCUUUGUCGGCCGAUCAUGUCAGCAAAACUGGGGCGGACGAUGCUACAUGUUACUGCUCGUCUCAAAGGACGAGGCAGAACGGGCCAUCGUCAAGUUCUAGGCCGUGGCGGAACUGGAGUGCGGCCACAAGCUGUGCGUAUGAAAGUGCAACUAAUCCUUGGGUGGUUUUGGUAAUUCAUAAUAACAUAUAGCUCAUUGAACUAAUAUCCAUUCAAGUUUAAUAUUUUAGAAAGUUCAAUGAAUGGCAUGGCAUGGACUAGAGAUGUGGACCCCUCAAAAUGCUAAGGACACAUAUUGGCAAAAGAUCAAGACUCUUCAUUUCAUUUUUAGCAAUCCAAUAUCACAUUGAGUCCAUCGAAAAGCAGUACUAUUAAAAGGGGAUGAUGUGUUGCUUAAUGGCUUGCUUGCUCAAAUGCUUAGUGAUAUUGCUCCAAACCUCUCAACCACUUUCUCAUUCCAAAUAUGUCAAAACCCUAAACUCCAACUCAGCCCCACCGAUUCAUCCUAUCCGGAGCCACUGAGUUCAUAUGACAUAGCCACUACCAGAAACCCUAAUAGUUCGGUCACACCGAUACGGAUCUUAGUCUCACCGAGAUUGCGCUGUCAAUUCUUUGUUGCCUGUUGCAAUUAUUUCGGUCUCAUCGAAAUAGCGGUCGGUCUCACUGAGUUGGCUUGGCAUUCGCUCUGUUGCCUUAUUGCUUCACUUCGGUCUCACCGAGUUGAUGCAAUCGGUGCCACUGGUUUGAUGUUUGCCCUAAGCCCUAGCACAUCGGACGCACCGAGUUGUUCCACUCGGUCCCACCGAGAUUCCUAACGUUCACAUUUUGAACUAAAUGGGUCUCAUCGAGUUCUUCUAUUCGGUCUAACCUAGUUGGGUCAAAUGUGUGUAACGGUUGGAUUUUGUGUGUAGGCUAUAUAUACCCCUCCACCCCCUUCUCCAUAUGUGAGAGAGCCAUUAGAACGUGCCUACACUUCCAGCAUACAUUUUUUGAGAGAGAACCACCUACUCAUGUGUUGAGAUCAAGAUAUACCAAUCCUACCAAGAAUCUUGAUUUCUAACCUUCCCCAAGUUGCUUUCCACUCAAAUAAUCUUUCCACCAUAUCCAAAUCUGUGAGAGAGAGUUGAGUGUUGGGGAGACUAUCAUUUGAAGCACAAGAGUAAGGAGUUCAUCAUCAACACACCAUCUACUACCUUUUGGAUAGUGGUGUCUGUCGGUGUCAAAACCGGCAGAUCUCGGGUAGGGGGGUCCAAGCUGCACAUCUAAGGAUCAAUGGUAACUAUGAAGAAAGGACACAAUGUUUACCCAGGUUCGGGCCCUCUUAAUGGAGGUAAAACCCUACUCCUGUUUGAUUAUAUUCGAGGGUAUAAAGGUUACAAGAGUUGAUCUACCUCGAGAUCGAUUCGGCUAACCCUAGAUUAGCUAGCCUAGCAAUGUUGUGAUCCUGCCUUCGAUCUACCCUCCGGUUUAUAAAGACACCGGAGGGGCUUAGGGUUGUACACAGUCGGUUUUACAGAAAGGAAUAAUACACCCGGACACCUACACUUGCCAUCCACGCAUACAGGAGUCCAUACCGGACACGAGAGAUAAUCUUCGGUCUUGUAUCUUGACGGCCCAUCAGUCCGGCCCAUAUCCAAUAGGCCGGACGCCCGAGGACCCCCUAGUCCAGGACUCCCAUAGUAGCCCCUGAACUAGUCUUCAAUGAUGAUAUAUUCGGCGUUCAGAUUGUCUUCGGCAUUGCAAGGCGGAUUCCCUGAAGAAUACACAUCGGCCUUCCUCUGUAAAAGAAUUGUAUCCGGCUUUUGAUAAUAAACACAAGCCUUAGUCGCAAAGGCAUGACAUAUAUAAAAAUAAGAAUAAUGUCUUUUACUGACAAAUUUUUCGAUGAAGCGUCAGACUUGAACCUUCGUUAUUUGGAACCGUUUUCACACCCCGCUUUCCGUGUUUUGAGGCCAUGCCUUGUUGGCAUGUCCUGUCAAAACAGAGAUCGUGCCCACUUAAUACAGGAUUGCACAUCAAUGGUAUUUGGGUAACCCAACCGACUGCGGCGCAUACCCACAUCGGGAGCAGGCGAAGUUUUAAGGCUAGCGAGGCGGGCACUCGGUAUUCACGACCUAUAUAAGUGGAUAAAGAUCCAUCUUUUUCAUCCCACGCCUCCUUCUUCCUCAGCCUUCCCAUCUUCGAGCUCCAACGCCCAAGCUUCAAUCCUCCCCACCGCCACCAACCUCUCCGGCCAUGUUCGGAUUCGGCUUUCAAGGCAAGUGGGUGGACUCCUCGUGAAGGAGAAGGACAUCAAGGAGCUCCAGGAGGCGGGGUACCUGAGCACGGACAUUGCGUACAGGCUCCCUGCCAAGAAGCAGGUCAUCCCCACUCCAGGGCCCGCCGAAAGGGUGUUAUUCAUCCCCCACUUCCUCCGCAGACUAGGGUUUCCACUUCACCCUUUUGUCCGCGGCCUCAUGUUCUAUUACGGGCUAGAUUUCCAUGAUCUAGCCCCAAACUCCUUCAUACACAUCUCGGCGUUUAUCGUCGUGUGCGAGGCGCUCCGCUGCAUCCCUCCCCCCACUUUGGUUUUUGGCUCAAAAUCUUCAACGUGAAGCCAAAGGUGGUGGACGGGCAGCACGCAGACUGCGGAGGUGCCAUGGUGAGCAAACUCCCCAAUGUCACCUGGCCCAAAGGGGCCUUCGUGGAAACUGUCAAGAUAUGGCAGUAGGAAUGGUUCUACAUCACUGAACCCCGUGGCGCCAACUGGGCAGCCACUCCUGAGUUUAGAUCUGGACCCCCGAUGCGGCUUGCGUCGUGGAUCAACAAGGGUCCGGAUUGGGGGGCGACCGACGAGGUGUUGAUGCUGCAAAAGCGCAUCAAAAACAUUAUAAAAAAGAACACCAGCCUCACUAACGUGAUCCAGGUGAUGCUAUUCCACCGGACCCUUCCCUGCCAGCACCAGCCUCUCCAUGUGUGGGAAUUCAACCCGGAAGGGCCGCGGACCCUGCAGCGAUUCUUCGGCACGACGCACGAAGAUAUUGAUACGUCCAUUUUGCAUCAUGAUUUUAUAUCAAUAUUUAUAGCAUUAUAGGUUGUUAUUACACAAUAUAUCUAAUUACUUAUGGCUAUUCUCUCUUAUUUUACAAGGUUUACCAUGAAGAGGGGGAAUGCCGGCAGCUGGAAUUCUGGCUGGAAAAGAAGCAAACGUUGGAAACCUAUUCUGCACAACUCCAAAUUCCUGAAACUCCACGAAACAACUUUUUGGGAUUUAUAAGAAUUUCUGAGCGAAAGAAAUAGGCCAGGGGCCCACACCCUGUCCAGGAGACAAGGGGUGCCCCCCCUAUAGGGCGCGCCCCCUAUCUCUUGGGCACCCUGGUGGGCCUCCGACUUCCAUCUUCUGCUAUAUCAUCACUUUUACCUUGGAAAAAAUCGGGGGCAAGCUUACGGGACGAAUCCGCCGCCACGAGGCGGAACCAAUCUAGGGCUCUAGCAGAGCUAUUCUGCCGGGGACACUUCCCUCCGGGAGGGGGAAAUCAUCACCAACGUCAUCACCAACGAUCCUCUCGUCGGGAGGGGGUCAAUCUCCAUCAACAUCUUCACCAACACCAUCUCCUCUCAAACCCUAGUUCAUCUCUUGUAUCCAAUCUUGUAUCCAAAACCACAAAUUGGUACCUGUGGGUUGCUAGUAGUGUUGAUUACUCCUUGUAGCUGAUACUUAUUGGUUUACUUGGUGGAAGAUCAUAUGUUCAGAUCCUUAAUGCAUAUUAUUACACUUCUGAUUAUAAACAUGAAUAUGCUUUGUGAGUAGUUACGUUUGUUCCUAAGGACAUGGGUGAAGUCUUGCUAUUAGUAGUCAUGUGAAUUUGGUAUUCGUUCGAUAUUUUGAUGAGAUGUAUGUUGUCUUCUCCUCUAGUGGUGUCAUGUGAACGUCGACUACAUGACACUUCACCAUUAUUGGGCCUAGAGGAGGGCAUAAAGAAUUAAUAAGUAGAUGAUGGGUUGCUAGAGUGACAGAAGCUUAAACCCUAGUUUAUGCGUUGCUUCGUUAGGGGCUAAUUUGGAUCCACAUGUUUCAUGAUAUGGUUAGGUUUACCUUAAUACUUUUGUUGUAGUUGCAGAUGCUUGCAAUAGGGGUUAAUCAUAAGUGGAAUGCUUAUCCAAGUAAGGGCAGUACCCAAGCACCGGUCCACCCACAUAUCAAAUUAUCAAAGUACCAAACGUGAAUCAUAUGAACAUGAUGAAAACUAGCUUGACGAUAAUUCCCAGUGUGUCCUCGGGAGCUCCUUUCUCAUUAUUAGAAAUUGUCUAGGCUUAUCCUUUGCUAAAUAAAAGAUUGGGCCACCUUGUUGCACCUUAUUUACUUUAUUUACUUGUUACUCGUUACUAUUUAUCUUAUCAUAAAAUUAUCUAUCACCUACAAUUUCAGUGCUUGCAGAAAACCUUACUGAAAACCGCUUAUCAUUUCCUUCUGCUCCUCGUUGGGUUCGACACUCUUACUUAUCGAAAGGACUACGAUAGAUCCCCUACACUUGUGGGUCAUCAAGACUCUUUUCUGGUGCCGUUGCCGGGGAGUGUAGCGCUUUUGGUGAGUGGAACUUGGUAAGGAAACAUUUAUAUAGUGUGCUGAAAUUUUCUAUUACUUGUCACUAUGGAAACUAAUCCUUUGAGGGGCUUGUUUGGGGUAUCUUCACCCCAACCAAAAGAUCAAAGAGUUGCUCCUCAACCUACUGAACUUUAUGAAAAUAUUAACUUUGAGAUUCCUUCAGGUAUGAUAGAGAAACUGCUAGCUAAUCCAUUUAUAGGAGAUGGAACAUUGCAUCUCGAUUUACACCUUAUCUUUGUGGAUGAAGUUUGUGAAUUAUUUAAGCUUGCAGGUAUUCCCGAUGAUGUUGUCAAAAGGAAGGUCUUCCCUUUAUCUUUGAAGGGAGAUGCAUCGACAUGGUAUAGGCUAUGUGAUGAUACGAGAUCUUGGAAUUAUAAGCGAUUGAAGUUGGAAUUUCACCAGAAGUUGGAAUUAUAAGCAUCGCUCAAGCAUGGGGGAGGCUUAAGUCAAUGUUAUAUUCAUGCCCCAAUCAUGAGCUCUCUCGGGAAAUGAUUAUUCAGAAUUUUUAUGCUCGGCUUUCUCUUGAUAAUCGCAACCUGCUCGAUACUUCCUGUGCUGGUUCUUAUAUGCUGAAGACUAUUGAUUUCAAAUGGGACUUAUUGGAAAGAAUUAAACGCAACUUUGAAGAUUGGGGUUUCGACGAUGGUAAGGAGUCAGGUAUGACACCUAAGUUCGAUUGUGUUAAAUCUUUUAUGGAUACCGAUGCUUUUAGUGGAUUUAGCGCCAAGUAUGGACUUGACUCUGAGAUAGUAGCUACUUUUUGUGAAACUUUUGCUACUCAUGUUGAUCUCCCUAAAGAGAAGUGGUUUAAAUAUAAUCCUCCUAUUGAAGUGAAAGUAGUUGCACCUAUUACAGUCGAAGAAAAGACUAUUACCUAUAGUGAUCCUAUUGUUCCUACUGCUUAUGUUGAAAACCUUCUUUCCCUGUUAGGAUAAAGGAUCAUGCUAAAGCUUCGACUGUUGUUCGUAAGAGUAAUACUAGGACUUAUACACCUCCUGAGCAAAUUAAUGUUGAACCUAGUAUUGCUAUGGUUAAAGAUCUCUUGGAUGAGGACUUAGAUGGGCAUGUCAUUUCUCUGUUGUGAGACUGCUAAUAUUGCUAGGCCAGAUACUAAGACACGUAGACCUGUCGUAGGCACGCCUGUUAUUUCUGUUAAAAUAGGAGAUCAUUGUUAUCAUGGUUUAUGUGAUAUGGGUGCUAGUGCCAGCGCUAUCCCUUAUGAUUUAUAUAAAGAAAUUAUGCACGACAUUGCACCCAUUGAAUUAGAAGACAUUGAUCUUACUAUUAAGCUUGCUAAUAGGGAUACCAUUAAACCUGUUGGGAUUGUUAGAGAUGUUGAAGUUUUGUGUGAGAAGGUUAAAUAUCCUGCUGAUUUUCUUGUUCUUGCUUCCCCACAAGAUGCCUUUUGUCCAAUUAUUUUUUGGUAGACCCUUCUUGAAUACUGCUAGUUCUAAGAUUAAUUGUGAAAAGAAUAUUGUCACUGUUGGCAUAGAUGGUAUGUCUCAUGAGUUUAAUUUUGCUAAGUUUAGUAGACAACCUCGUGAAAGGGAACCACCUAGCAAGGAUGAGAUUAUUGGUCUUGCUUCCAUUGUUGUUCCUCCAACUGAUCCAUUAGAACAAUAUUUGCUAGACCAUGAAAACGAUAUGUUUAUGAAGAAAAGGGAAGAAAUAUAUGAGGUGUUCCUUAAACAGGAACCUAUGCUGAAACCAUUACCUGAUAAUCUCAAGUAUGCUUAUCUUGAUGAAAAAGAAAUAUAUCCUGUUAUUAUUAGUGCUAACCUUUCAGAGAAAAAAGAAGAAAGAUUAUUGAAAACUCUGAAGAAGCACCGAGCAGCUAUUGGAUAUACUCUGGAUGAUCUUAAGGGCAUUAGUCCCACAUUAUGUCAACACAAGAUUUCAGUGGAGAAAGAUGCCAAACCAGUUAGGGAUCCUCAAAAACGAUUAAAUCCCAAGAUGAAGGAAGUGGUAAGAAAGGAGAUACUAAAACUCCUUGAGGCAGGUAUUAUUUAUCCCGUGCUGAUAGUGAAUGGGUAAGCCCUGUCCAUUGUGUCCCUAAAAAGGGAGGUAUUACCGUCGUUCCUAAUGAUAAAGAUGAAUUAAUCCUGCAAAGAAUUAUUACAGGUUAUAGGAUGGUAAUUGAUUUCCGUAAGUUAAAUAACUAAGAAAGAUCAUUACCCUUUACCUUUUAUUGAUCAAAUGCUAGAAAGGCUAUCCAAACACACACAUUUUUGCUUUCUAGAUGGCUAUUCUGGUUUCUCUCAGAUAGCUGUGUCAGCGAAGGAUCAAUCUAAAACUACCUUUACUUGCCCUUUUGGUACUUUUGCUUAUAGACGUAUGCCUUUUGGUUUAUGUAAUGCACCUGCUACCUUUCAAAGAUGCAUGAUGGCUAUAUUCUCUGAUUUUUGUGAAAAUAUUUGUGAGGUAUUCAUGGAUGACUUCUCUGUCUAUGGAUCCUCUUUUGAUGAUUGUUUGAGCAACCUUGAUCGAGUUUUGUAGAGAUGCGAAGACACUAGUCUCAUCCUGAAUUGGGAAAAGUGUCACUUUAUGGUUAAUGAAGGCAUUGUCUUGGGGCACAAGAUCUCCGAGAGAGGUAUUGAAGUUGAUAAAGCCAAAGUUGAUGCUAUUGAAAAGAUGCCAUGUCCCAAGGACAUAAAAGGUAUAAGAAGUUUCCUUGGUCAUGUCGGUUUUUAUAGGAGGUUCAUUAAGGACUUUUCUAAAAUCUCUAGACCUUUGACUAAUUUAUUGCAAAAAGAUAUUCCUUUUGUCUUUGAUGAUGAUUGUGUAGAAGCGUUAGAAGUGCUUAAGAAAGCUUUGAUCACUACACCUAUUGUUCAGCCACCUGAUUGGAAUUUAUCUUUUGAAACUAUGUGUGAUGCUAGUGAUUAUGCUGUAGGUGCUAUUUUAGGGCAAAGAGUUGAUAAGAAAUUAAAUAUUAUCCAGUAUGCUAGUAAGACUCUUGAUACUAGCCAGAGAAAUUAUGCUACCACUGAAAAAGAAUUCUUAGCAGUUGUGUUUGCAUGUGUUAAGUUCAGACCUUAUAUUGUUGAUUCCAAAGUUACUAUUCACACUGAUCAUGCUGCUAUUAAAUAUCUUAUGGAAAAGAAAGAUGCUAAGCCUAGACUCAUUAGAUGGGUUCUCUUGCUCCAAGAGUUUGAUUUGCACAUUAUUGAUUGAAAGGGAGCUGAGAACCCCGUUGCAGAUAACUUGUCUAGGUUAGAGAAUGUUCUUGAUGACCCACUGCUUAUUAAUGAUAGCUUUCCUGAUGAACAAUUAGCGGUCGUUAAUGCUUCUUGUACUGCUCCUUGGUAUGCUGAUUAUGCUAAUUACAUUGUUGCUAAAUAUUUACCGCCUAGUUUCACAUACUAGCAAAAGAAAAAGAUCGUUUAUGAUUUAGGACAUUACUUCUGGGAUGAUCCACACCUUUAUAAAGAAGGAGUAGAUGGUGUUAUUAGACGUUGUGUGCCUGGGCAUGAACAGGAACAAAUUCUACGUAAGUGUCACUCUGAAUCUUAUGGAGGACACCACGCUGGAGAUAGAACUGCACACAAGGUACUACAAUCUGGUUUUUAUUGGCCUACUCUCUUCAAAGAUGCUCGUAAGUUUGUCUUAUCUUGUGAUGAAUGUCAAAGAAUAGGUAACAUUAGUAGACAUCAAGAAAUGCCUAUGAAUUAUUCUCUUGUUAUUGAACCGUUUGAUGUUUGGGGCUUUGACUAUAUGGGACCUUUUCCUGCCUCUAAUGGUUAUACACAUAUUUUAGUUGUUGUUGAUUACGUUACUAAGUGGGUAGAAGCUAUUCCAACUAGUAGUGCUGAUCAUAACACUUCUAUUAAAACGCUUAAAGAAGUUAAUUUUCCGAGGUUUGGAGUCCCUAGAUAUCUUAUGACUGAUGGUGGUUCACAUUUCAUUCAUGGUGCUUUCCAUAAGAUGCUCACUAAGUAUGAUGUCAAUCAUAGAAUAGCAUCUCCUUAUCAUCCGCAGUCUAGUGGUCAAGUAGAGUUGAGCAAUAGAGAGCUCAAAUUAAUUUUGCAAAAGACUGUGAAUAGAUCUAGGAAGAAUUGGUCCAAAAAACAUGAUGAUGCAUUAUGGGCCUAUAGAACUGCAUACAAAAAUCCUAUGGGUGUGUCUCCAUAUAAAAUGGUUUAUGGAAAAGCAUGUCAUUUACCUCUUGAACUUGAACAUAAAGCAUAUUGGGCUAUUAAAGAGCUCAAUUAUGACUUCAAGCUUGCCGGUGAGAAGAGGUUAUUUGAUAUUAGCUCACUUGAUGAAUGGAGAACCCAAGCCUAUGAGAAUGCCAAGCUUUUCAAAGAAAAAGUCAAACGCUGGCAUGAUAAGAGGAUACAAAAGCGUGAGUUUAACGUAGGAGAUUAUGUGCUAUUAUUCAACUCUCGUUUAAGAUUUUUUGCAGGAAAACUUCUCUCAAAAUGGGAAGGUCCCUACGUUAUCGAGGAGGUCUAUCGUUCUGGUGCCAUAAAAAUCAACAACUUCGAAGGCACAAAUCCGAGGGUGGUAAACGGUCAAAGAAUUAAACAUUAUAUUUCAGGUAAUCCUAUCAAUGUUGAAACUAAUAUUAUUGAAACCGUAACCCCUGAGGAAUACAUAAGGGACACUUUCCAGAACAUUCCAGACUCCGAAAAGGCAUAGGUAUGUGGUACGGUAAGUAAACCGACUCCAAAACAACUCCAAUGGCAAUUUUUAUUAGUUUUGGAAUAUUUAAGAAUUUUAGGAAGAAAGAAGUAGUCCGAAAGGGACACGAGGCUCCCAUGAGAGUGGAGGGUGCCCCCCUGUAGGGCGCGCCCCCUGUCUCGUGGGCACCUCGUGUGCCUCCCGGACUCCGUUUUCUUGCACGUUACUGAAGGAAAUAUGCCCUAGAGGCAAUAAUAAAGUUAUUAUUUAUUUCUUCAUAUCAUGAUAAAUGUUUAUUAUUCAUGCUAUAAUUGUAUUAACCGGAAACAUGAUACAUGUGUGAGUACAUAGACAAACUUAAUGUCACUAGUAUGCCUCUACUUGACUAGGUCAUUAAUCAAAGAUGGUUAUGUUUCCUAACCAUAGACAUGUGUUGUCAUUUGAUUAAUGGGAUCACAUCAUUAGGAGAAUGAUGUGAUUGACUUGACCCAUUCCGUUAGCUUAGCAUUGAUCGUUUAGUAUGUUGCUAUUGCUUUCUUCAUGACUUAUACAUGUUCCUACAACUAUGAGAUUAUGCAACUCCCGUUUACCGGAGGAACAAUUUGUGCGCUACUAAACAUCACAACGUAACUGGGUGAUUAUAAAGGAGCUCUACAGGUGUCUUCGAAGGUACAUGUUGGGUUGGCGUAUUUCGAGAUUAGGAUUUGUCACUCCGAUUGUCGGAGAGGUAUCUCUGGGCCCUCUCGGUAAUGCACAUGACUAUAAGCCUUGCAAGCAAUGUAGCUAAUGAGUUAGUUACGGAAUGAUGCAUUACGUAACGAGUAAAGAGACUUGACGGUAACGAGAUUGAACUAGGUAUUGAGAUACCGACGAUCAAAUCUCGGGCAAGUAACAUACCGAUGACAAAGGGAACAACGUAUGUUGUUAUGCGGUGUGACCGAUAAAGAUCUUCGUAGAAUAUGUAGGAGACAAUAUGAGCAUCCAGGUUCCGCUAUUGGUUAUCGACCGGAAACGGUUCUCGGUCAUGUCUACAUAGUUCACGAACCCGUAGGGUCCGCACGCUUAAGGUUUCGAUGACAGUUAUAUUAUGAGUUUAUGAGUUUUGAUGUACCGAAGUUUGUUCGGAGUACCGAAUGUGAUUACGGACAUGACGAGGAGUCUUGAAAUGGUCGAGACAUGAAUAUUGAUAUAUUGGAAGCCUAUAUUUGGAUAUCGGAAGUGUUCCGGGUGAAAUCGGGAUUUUACCGGAGUACCGAGAGGUUACCGGAACCCCCCGGGGGCUUAAUGGACCUACAUGGGCCCUAGUGGAGAGGAAGAGAGGAGGCAAGGGCUGGGCCGCGCACCCCUCCCCCUAGUCCGAAUAGGACAAGGAGAAGGGGGCAGCGCCCCCCCCUUUCCUUCCUCUCUCCCUCCUCCUUCCCCCUUCUCCUACUCCAACUAGGAAAGAAGGUAGUCCUACUCCCGGUGGGAGUAGGACUCACCUUGGCGCGCCCCUCCUUGGCCGGCCGGCCCCUUCCCCUUGGCUCCUUUAUAUACGGGGGCAGGGGAGCACCUCUAGACACAACAAUUGAUCAUUGAUCUCUUAGUCGUGUGCGGUGCCCCCCCCCCCUCCACCAUAGUCCUCCUCGAUAGUAUUGUAGCAGUGCUUAGGCAAAGCCCUGCAACGGUAGAACAUCAAGAUCUUCACCAUGCCGUCAUGCUGACGAAACUCUCCCUUGACACUCGGCUGGAUCGGAGUUCGAGGGAUGUCAUCGAGCUGAACGUGUGCUAGAACUCGGAAGCGUCGUAGUUUCGGUGCUUGAUCGGUCAGGCCGUGAAGACGUACAACUAUAUCAACCGCGUUGUCAUAAUGCUUCCGCUUUUGGUCUACGAGGGUACGUGGACAACACUCUCCCCUCUUGUUGCUAUGCAUCACCAUGAUCUUGCGUGUGUGUAGGAAUUUUUUUGAAAUUACUACGUUCCCUAACAGUGGCAUCCGAGCCUGGUUUUAUGCGUAGAUGUCAUAUGCACGAGUAGAACAUAAGUGAGUUGUGGGCGAUAUAAGUCAUACUGCUUACCAGCAUGUCAUACUUUGGUUCAGCGGUAUUGUGAGAUGAAGCGGCCCGGACCGACAUUACGCGUACGCUUACGCGAGACUGGUUUCACCGCCACGAGCACUAGUUGCUUAAAGGUGACCGGUGGGUGUCUGUCUCUCUCACUUUAGUUGAACCGAGUGUGGCUACGCCCGGUCCUUCCGAAGGUUAAAACAGCACCAACUUGUCAAACUAUCGUUGUGGUUUUGAUGCGUAGGUAAGAACGGUUCUUGCUAAGCCCGUAGCAGCCACGUAAAAUUUGCAACAACAAAGUAGAGGACGUCUAACUUGUUUUUGCAGGGCAUGUUGUGAUGUGAUAUGGUCAAGAUGUGAUGCUAUAUUGUUUUGUAUGAGAUGAUCAUGUUUUGUAACCGAAGUUAUCGGCAACUGGCAGGAGCCAUAUGGUUGUCGCUUUAUUGUAUGAAAUGCAAACGCCCUGUAAUUGCUUUACUUUAUCACUAAGCGGUAGCGGUAGUCGUAGAAGCAAUAGAUGGCGUAACGGCAAUGAUGCUACGAUGGAGAUCAAGGUGUCGCGCCGGUGACGAUGGUGAUCAUGAUGGUGCUACGGAGAUGGAGAUCACAAGCACAAGAUGAUGAUGGCCAUAUCAUAUCACUUAUAUUGAUUGCAUGUGAUGUUUAUCCUUUAUACAUCUUAUCUUGCUUUGAUUGACAGUAGCAUUUUAAGAUGAUCUCUCACUAAUUAUCAAGAAGUGUUCUCCCUGAGUAUGCACCAUUGCGAAAGUUCUUCGUGCUGAGACACCACGUGAUGAUCGAGUGUGAUAGGCUCUACGUUCAAAUACAACGGGUGCAAAACAGUUGCACAUGCAGAAUACUCAGGUUAAACUUGACGAGCCUAGCAUAUACAGAUAUGGACUCGGAACACGAAGACCGAAAGGUUGAACGUGAAUCAUAUAGUAGAUAUGAUCAACAUAGUGAUGUUCACUAUUGAAACUACUCCAUCUCACAUGAUGAUCGGACAUGGUUUAGUUGAUUUGGAUCACGUGAUCACUUAGAUGACUAGAGAGAUGUCUGUCUAAGUGGGAGUUCUUAAGUAAUAUGAUUAAUUGAACUUAAAUUUAUCAUGAACUUAGUACCAAAUAGUAUUUUGCAUGUCUAUGUUUAUUGUAGAUAGAUGGCUCGUGCUGUUGUUCCGUUGAAUUUUAAUGCGUUCCUUGAGAAAGCUAAGUUGAAAGAUGAUGGUAGCAAUUACACGGACUGGGUCCAUAACUUGAGGAUUAUCCUCAUUGUUGCACAAAAGAAUUACGUCCUGGAAGCACCGCUGGGUGCCAGGCCUGCUGCAGAUGCAACUGACAACGUUAAGAACGUCUAGCAGAGCAAAGCUGAUGACUACUCGAUAGUUCAGUGUGCCAUGCUUUAUGGCUUGGAACCGGGUCUUCAACGACAUUUUGAACGUCAUGGAGCAUAUGAGAUGUUCCAAGAGUUGAAGUUAAUAUUUCAAGCAAAUGCCCGGAUUGAGAGAUAUGAAGUCUCCAAUAAGUUCUAUAGCUGUAAGAUGGAGGAGAAUAGUUCUGUCAGUGAACACAUACUCAAAAUGUCUGGGUAUAAUAAUCACUUGAUUCAACUGGGAGUUAAUCUUCCUGAUGAUAGUGUCAUUGACAGAAUUCUUCAAUCACUGCCACCAAGCUACAAAAGCUUCGUGAUGAACUAUAAUAUGCAACGGAUGGACAAGACUAUUCCUGAGCUCUUCGCAAUGCUAAAAGCUGCGGAGGUAGAAAUCAAAAAGGAGCAUCAAGUGUUGAUGGUCAAUAAGACCACCAGUUUCAAGAAAAAGGGCAAAGGGAAGAAGAAGGGGAACUUCAAGAAGAACAGCAAGCAAGUUGCUGCUCAACAGAAGAAGCCUAAGUCUGGACCUAAGCCUGAGACUGAGUGCUUCUACUGCAAGCAGACUGGACACUGGAAGCGGAACUGCCCCAAGUAUUUGGCGGAUAAGAAGGAUGGCAAGGUGAACAAAGGUAUAUGUGAUAUACAUGUUAUUGAUGUGUACCUUACUAAUGCUCGCAGUAGUACCCGGGUAUUUGAUACUGGUUCUGUUGCUAAUAUUUGCAACUCGAAACAGGGACUACAGAUUAAGCGAAGAUUGGCUAAGGACGAGGUGACGAUGCGCGUGGGAAAUGGUUCCAAAGUCGAUGUGAUCGCGGUCGGCACGCUAUCUCUACAUCUACCAUCGAUAUUAGUUUUAGACCUCAAUAAAUGUUAUUUGGUGCCAGCGUUGAGCAUGAACAUUAUAUCUGGAUCUUGUUUGAUGCGAGACGGUUAUUCAUUUAAAUUAAAGAAUACUGGUUGUUCUAUUUAUAUGAGUAAUAUCUUUUAUGGUCAUGCACCCUUGAAGAGUGGUCUAUUUUUAUUAAAUCUCGAUAGUAGUGAUACACAUAUUCAUAAUGUUGAAACCAAAAAAUGCAGAGUUGAUAAUGAUAGUGCAACUUAUUUGUCGCACUGCCGUCUGGGUCAUAUUGGUGUAAAGCGCAUGAAGAAACUCCAUACUGAUGGACUUCUGGAAACACUUGAUUAUGAAUCACUUGGUACUUGCGAACCGUGCCUCAUAGGCAAGAUGACUAAAACGCCGUUCUCCGGAACUAUGGAGCGAUCAACUGAUUUAUUGGAAAUCAUACAUACUGAUGUAUGUGGUCCAAUGAAUAUUGAGGCUCGCGGCGGGUAUCGUUAUUUUCUCACUUUCACAGAUGAUUUGAGCAGAUAUGGGUAUAUCUACUUAAUGAAACACAUGUCUCAAACAUUUGAAAAGUUCAAAGAAUUUCAGAGUGAAGUUGAAAAUCAUCGUAACAAGGAAAUAAAAUUUCUACGAUUUGAUCGUGGAGGAGAAUAUUUGAGUUACGAGUUUGGUUUACAUUUGAAGCAAUGCGGAAUAGUUUCGUAACUCACGCCACCCGGAACACCACAACGAAAUGGUGUGUCCGAACGUUGUAAUCGUACUUUACUAGAUAUGGUGCGAUCUAUAAUGUCUCUUACUGAUUUACCGCUAUCGUUUUGGGGUUAUGCUUUAGAGACGGCCGCAUUCACGUUAAAUAGGGCACCAUCAAAAUCCGUUGAGACGACGCCUUAUGAACUGUGGUUUGGCAAGAAACCAAAGUUGUCGUUUCUUAAAGUUUGGGGCUGCGAUGCUUAUGUGAAGAAACUUCAACCAGAUAAGCUCGAACCCAAAUCGGAGAAAUAUGUCUUCAUAGGAUACGCAAAAGAGGCUAUUGGGUACAACUUCUAUCAUAGAUCUGAGGGCAAGAUUUUUGUUGCUAAAUUCGGAUCCUUUCUAGAGAAGGAGUUUCUCUCGAAAGAAGUGAGUGGGAGGAAAGUAGAACUUGAUGAGGUAACUAUACCUGCUCCCUUAUUGGAAAGUAGUUCAUCACAAGAACCGGUUCCUGUGACAAUUACACCAAUCAACGAGGAAGUUAAUGAUAUUGAUCAUGAAACUUCAGAACAAGUUACUACAGAACCUCGUAGGUCAACCAGAGUAAGAUCCGCACCAGAGUGGUACGGUAAUCCUAUUCUGGAAGUCAUGUUACUUGACCAUGACGAACCUAUGAACUAUGAGGAAGCGAUGAUGAGCCCAGAUUCCGCAAAAUGGCUUGAGGCCAUGAAAUCUGAGAUGGGAUCCAUGUAUGAAAACAAAGUAUGGACUUUGGUUGACUUGCCCGUUGAUCGGCAAGCCAUCGAGAAUAAAUGGAUCUUCAAGAAGAAGACAGACGCUGAUGGUAAUGUAACUAUCUACAAAUCUCUACUUGUUGCUAAAGGUUUUCAAUAAGUUCAAGGGGUUGACUACGAUGAGACUUUCUCACCCGUAGCGAUGCUUAAGUCUGUCUGAAUCAUGUUAGCAAUUGCCGCAUUUUAUGAUUAUGAAAUUUGGCAAAUGGAUGUCAAAACUGCAUUCCUGAAUGGAUUUCUGGAAGAAGAGUUGUAUAUGAUGCAGCCGGAAGGUUUUGUCGAUCCAAAAGGUGCUAGCAAAGUGUGCAAGCUCCAGCGAUCCAUUUAUGGACUGGUGCAAGCCUCUCGGAGUUGGAAUAAAUGCUUUGAUAGUGUGAUCAAAGCAUAUGGUUUUAUACAGACUUUUGGAGAAGCCUGUAUUUACAAGAAAGUGAGUGGGAGCUCUGUAGCAUUUCUGAUAUUAUAUGUAGAUGACAUAUUAUUGAUUGGAAAUGAUAUAGAAUUUCUAGAUAGCAUAAAGGGAUACUUGAAUAAAAGUUUUUCGAUGAAAGACCUCGGUGAAGUUGCUUACAUAUUGGGCAUCAAGAUCUAUAGAGAUAGAUCAAGACGCUUAAUUGGACUUUCACAAAGCACAUACCUUGAUAAAGUUUUGAAAAUGUUCAAAAUUGAUCAGGCAAAGAAAGGGUUCUUACCUGUAGUACAAGGUGUGAAGUUGAGUCAGACUCAAUGCCCGACCACAACAGAAGAUAGAGAGAAAAUGAAAGAUGUUCCCUAUGCUUCAGCCAUAGGCUCUAUCAUGUAUGCAAUGCCGUGUACCAGACCUGACGUAUGCUUAGCAAUAAGUUUGGCAGGAAGGUACCAAAGUAAUCCAGGAGUGGAUCACUGGAUAGCGGUCAAGAACAUCCUGAAAUACCUGAAAAGGACUAAGGAUAUGUUUCUCGUUUAUGGAGGUGACAAAGAGCUAGUCGUAAAUGGUUAUGUCGAUGCAAGCUUUGACACUGAUCCGGACGAUUCUAAAUCACAAACCGGAUACGUGUUUAUAUUGAACGGUGGAGCUGUAAGUUGGUGUGGUUCUAAACAAAGCGUCGUGGCGGGAUCUACAUGCGAAGCGGAGUACAUAGCUGCUUCAGAAGCAGCAAAUGAAGGAGUCUGGAUGAAAGAGUUCAUUUCCGAUCUAGGUGUCAUACCUAGUGCAUCGGGACCAAUGAAGAUCUUCUGUGACAAUACUGGUGCAAUUGCCUUGGCAAAGGAAUCCAGAUUUCACAAGAGGACCAAGCACAUCAAGAGACGCUUCAAUUCCAUAUGGGACCAAGUCCAGGUGGGAGACAUAGAGAUUUUCAAAAUACAUACGGAUCUGAAUGUUGCAGACCUGUUGAUUAAGCCUCUUCCUCGAGCAAAACAUGAUCAGCACCAAGACUCCAUGGGUGUUAAAAUCAUUACUAUGUAAUCUAGAUUAUUGACUCUAGUGCAAGUGGGAGACUGAAGGAAAUAUGCCCUAGAGGCAAUAAUAAAGUUAUUAUUUAUUUCCUCAUAUCAUGAUAAAUGUUUAUUAUUCAUGCUAUAAUUGUAUUAACCGGAAACAUGAUACAUGUGUGAAUACAUAGACAAACUUAAUGUCACUACUAUGCCUCUACUUGACUAGGUCAUUAAUCAAAGAUGGUUAUGUUUCCUAACCAUAGACAUGUGUUUUCAUUUGAUUAACGGGAUCACAUCAUUAGGAGAAUGAUGUGAUUGACUUAACCUAUUCCGUUAGCUUAGCACUUGAUCGUUUAGUAUGUUGCUAUUGCUUUCUUCAUGACUUAUACAUGUUCCUACAACUAUGAGAUUAUGCAACUCCCGUUUACUGGAGGAACAAUUUGUGUGCUACCAAACGUCACAACGUAACUGGGUGAUUAUAAAGGAGCUCUACAGGUGUCUCCGAAGGUACAUGUUGGGUUGGCGUAUUUCGAGAUUAGGAUUUGUCACUCCGAUUGUCGGAGAGGUAUCUCUGGGCCCUCUCGGUAAUGCACAUCACUAUAAGCCUUGCAAGCAAUGUAGCUAAUGAGUUAGUUACGGAAUGAUGCAUUACGUAACGAGUAAAGAGACUUGCCGGUAACGAGAUUGAACUAGGUAUUGAGAUACCGACGAUCAAAUCUCGGGCAAGUAACAUACCGAUGACAAAGGGAACAACGUAUGUUGUUUUGUGGUGUGACCGAUAAAGAUCUUCGUAGAAUAUGUAGGAGCCAAUAUGAGCAUCCAGGUUCCGCUAUUGGUUAUUGACCAGAAACGGUUCUCGGUCAUGUCUACAUAGUUCUCGAACCCGUAGGGUCCGCACGCUUAAGGUUUCGAUGACAGUUAUAUUAUGAGUUUAUGAGUUUUGAUGUACCAAAGUUUGUUUGGAGUCCCAAAUGUGAUUACGGACAUGACGAGGAGUCUUGAAAUGGUCGAGACGUGAAGAUUGAUAUAUUGGAAGCCUAUAUUUGGAUAUCGGAAGUGUUCCAGGUGAAAUCGGGAUUUUACCGGAGUAGCGGGAGGUUACCGGAACCCCCCGGGGGCUUAAUGGGCCUACAUGGGCCCUAAUGGAGAGGAAGAGAGGAGGCAAGGGCUGGGCCACGCACCCCUCCCCCCUAGUCCGAAUAGGACAAGGAGAGGGGGGCGGCGCCCCCCCUUUCCUUCCUCUCUCCCUCCUCCUUCCGCCCUUCUCCUACUCCAACUAGGAAAGAAGGGAGUCCUACUCCCGGUGGGAGUAGGAAUCCCCUUGGCGCGCCCCUCCUUGGCCGGCCGCCCCCUCCCCCUUGGCUCCUUUAUAUACGGGGGCAGGGGGCACCUCUAGACACAACAAUUGAUCAUUGAUCUCUUAGCCGUGUGCGGUGCCCCCCUCCACCAUAGUACUCCUCGAUAAUAUUGUAGCGGUGCUUAGGCGAAGCCCUGCGACGGUAGAACAUCAAGAUCGUCACCACGCCAUCGUGUUGACGGAACUCUCCCUCGACACUCGGCUAGAUCGGAGUUCGAGGGACGUCAUCGAGCUGAACGUGUGCUAGAACUCGGAGGUGCCGUAGUUUCGGUGCUUGAUCGGUCGGGCCGUGAAGACAUACGACUACAUCAACCGCGUUGUCAUAACGCUUCCGCUUUCGGUCUAUGAGGAUACGUGGACAACACUCUCCCCUCUCGUUGCUAUGCAUCACCAUGAUCUUGCGUGUGCGUAGGAAUUUUUUUGAAAUUACUAUGUUCCCUAACAAUUACGUAUUUUGGUCAGUAAAAAUUCAUUAUAUAUACUCCCGAAGGUUUUGACCACCGUAUCACGCAAAUUUCCUCUAUUUUCGUUUCGAGUUGUUCCUGUUGCAAAAUUAAGCAAGACGUCUUCUCAGGAGUCAGUUGGGGAGAGCCGGGUGUCUCACCCAAUGCUAGGUCCAGGAGCGAAUAGCGACGCCUACCACUUUGGACCAUCAAUGGAGGAUGAGAUGGAGGCUGAUUUGAAAAGGAUAGAUGCCAUGGAAGAAGAUCAAGAAGUCACCUCUCAUCUCCGAGCAGAAUUCAUGAUAGGGGAACUACCGAGCGUGGUUGUUCCAACUUCGGUCAUCCCUUCCAAUUCUAAAUUUCUUUCUUAUGAAAAUAUGAAAAAGAGUUUCACUUAUUCUCCAGAAGCUAUGCAACAUCCUUGGGUAAAAGGAGCUUUGGCCAUUACGGGUAAGCUCCGUGAAGAGUUUAUGGAUAUCAAACAACAAGUCAAUAAGCUCGAGGAGGAGAACCGCAUCCUGAAGGGCAUCAUCGCCAAGAAGAUCAUAACACCAACCGUGAAGAAGGAGAAAUAAUCACAUGGGUAUGGGCACUCCCCUUGGCAACUGCCAAGCUUGGGGGAGGUGCCCCGGUAUCGUAUCACCAUCACACUCCUAUCUUUAUCGCUUUAUUUAGUUCGAUCCUUUUAGUAGUAUCUUGAUCUAGUAGAUUGAAGUUUUGAUAUCAAGUAGUUUGAGUUUUGCUUCGUGAUCUCUUUUUGUAUUCGAGCCUGUGAGUUAUCUAUAAUAAAGAUUAGUGUUGAGUCAAGCGCUUUGCUAUCUGCUAUGAUCUUGAGAAAGUAGAAAGAAUAAAAGAGUUCAUAUUGAUCUUAUGGAUAGUGAUAACUUCACACAUAGAAAGUAUGAGGCAUAAAAGUUGUUGGGAGUUGAUGAACGUAGCCUUGGUCAUCAUUGCAAUUAAUAGGAAGUAAUAAGGGAAGAGAGGUUCGCAUAUAAAUACACUAUCUUGGACAUCUUUUAUGAUUGUGAGCACUCAUUAAGUAUGGCAUGCUAAAAGAGUUGACGGUGGACAAGGAAGACAACGUAAUGGUUUAUGUUUUCUCACAUCUCAGUUAAAGUAUGUUGUCAUUGACCUUCCGAACAUGUUGAGCUUGCCUUUCCCCCUCAUGCUAGCCAAAUUCCUAGCACCAAGUAGAAAUACUACUUGUGCUUCCAAAUACCCUUAAACCCAAUCUUGCCAUGAGAGUCCACCAUAUCUACCUAUGGAUUGAGUAAGAUCCUUCAAGUAAGUUGUCAUCGGUGCAAGCAAUGAGAAUUGCUCUCUAAUUAUGUAUGACUUAUUAGUGCGGAGAAAAUAAGCUUUGUAUGAACUUGUUGUGGAAGUAAUAAAAGCGACGGACUGCAUAAUAAAGGUCCACACACAAGGGGCAAUAUAAAGUGACGUUCUUUUGCAUUAAGAUUUUAUGCAUCAACCCUAAAAGCGCAUGACAACCUCUGCUUCCCUCUGCGAAGGGCCUAUCUUUUACUUCAUGUUUUUACUUUAUGCUUUUAUUUUGCGCUUGAGUCAAGGUGAUCUCCACCUUUCCCUUUUUCAUUUUAUCCUUUGGCAAGCUCUUCAUGUUUGAAAGAUCAUGAUAUACAUAUCCAAUUGGAUCUUCGUUAGCAUGGGCUAUUAUUGUUGACAUCACCUAAAGGUGAAUACGUUGGGAGGCAACACAAUAAGCCCCUAUCUUUCUCAGUGUCCAGCUGAAACUCCAUAACCACAAGUAUUGCGUGAGUGUUAGCGAUUGUAGAAGACUAUAUGAUAGUUGAGUAUGUAGACUUGCUAGAAAGCUCUAUUGUUGACUCUUUCUGAUGUUACGAUAAAUUGCAAUUGCUUCAGUGACUGAGAUUAUAGUUUGUUAGUUCCCAAUGAAGUUUCUGAACCAUACUUGACAUUGUGAAUUGCUUGUUACUUGAGCAUAGGAAAUCAUAUGACAAAAUCUAUAUAUGUUGCUGUUAUUAGAAUGAUCAUGACGCCGUCAUGUCCGUAUUUUAUUUUUAUCGACACCUCUAUCUCUAAACAUGUGGAUAUAUUUUUCGAUUUCGGCUUGCGCUUGAGGACAAGCGAGGUCUAAGCUUGGGGGAGUUGAUACGUCCAUUUUGCAUCAUGCUUUUAUAUCAAUAUUUAUAGCAUUAUGGGCUGUUAUUACACAAUAUAUCUCAUUACUUAUGGCUAUUCUCUCUUAUUUUACAAGGUUUACCAUGAAGAGGGGGAAUGCCGGCAGCUGGAAUUCUGGCUAGAAAAGGAGCAAACAUUGGAAAUCUAUUCUGCACAACUCCAAAAGUCCUGAAACUCCACGAAACAACUUUUUGGGAUUUAUAAGAAUUUCUGAGCGAAAGAAAUAGGCCAGGGGGCCCACACCCUGUCCAGGAGACAGCCCCCCCUAUAGGUCGCGCCCCCUAUCUCCUGGGCCCCCUGGUGGGCCUCCGGCAUCCAUCUUCUGCUAUAUCAUCACUUUUACCCUGGAAAAAAUCAGGGGCAAGCUUACGGGACGAAACUCCGCCGCCACGAGGCGGAACCAAUCUAGGGCUCUGGCAGAGCUGUUCUGCCGGGGACACUUCCCUCCGGGAGGGGGAAAUCAUCACCAAUGUCAUCACCAACGAUCCUCUCGUCGGGAGGGGGUCAAUCUCCAUCAACAUCUUCACCAGCACCAUCUCCUCUCAAACCCUAGUUCAUCUCUUGUAUCCAAUCUUGUAUCCAAAACCACAAAUUGGUAUCUAUGGGUUGCUAGUAGUGUUGAUUACUCCUUGUAGUUGAUACUCAUUGGUUUACUUGGUGGAAGAUCAUAUGUUCAGAUCCUUAAUGCAUAUUAUUACACCUCUGAUUAUGAACAUGAAUAUGCUUUGUGAGUAGUUACGUUUGUUCCUGAGGACAUGGGUGAAGUCUUGCUAUUAGUAGUCAUGUGAAUUUAGUAUUCGUUCGACAUUUUGAUGAGAUGUAUGUUGUCUUCUCCUCUAGUGGUGUCAUGUGAACGUCGACUACAUGACACUUCACCAUUAUUGGGCCUAGAGGAUGGCAUAGGGAAGUAAUAAGUAGAUGAUGGGUUGCUAGAGUGACAAAAGCUUAAACCCUAGUUUAUGCAUUGCUUCGUUAGGGGAUGAUUUGGAUCCACAUGUUUCAUGCUAUGGUUAGGUUUACCUUAAUACUUUUAUUGUAGUUGCAGAUGCUUGCAAUAGGGGUUAAUCAUAAGUGGGAUGCUUGUCCAAGUAAGGGAAGUACCCAAGCACCGGUCCACACACGUAUCAAAUUAUCAAAGUACCGAACGCGAAUCAUAUGAACGUGAUGAAAACUAGCUUGAUGAUAAUUCCCAAUGUGUCCUCGGGAGCUCCUUUCUCAUUAUUAGAAAUUGUCCAGGCUUAUCCUUUGCUAAGUAAAGGAUUGGGCCACCUUGGUGCACCUUAUUUACUUUAUUUACUUGUUACUCGUUACUAUUUAUCUUAUUAUAAAACUAUCUAUCACCUACAAUUUCAGUGCUUGCAGAAAACCUUACUGAAAACCGCUUAUCAUUUCCUUCUGCUCCUUGUUGGGUUCGACACUCUUACUUAUUGAAAGGACUACGAUAGAUCCCCUACACUUGUGGGUCAUCAGACAUCUGGAGGCUGCUUUUGAAGGCCUAGAAGUCUUGGUCAGAGACGACUGACGACAUCGGCCUCGACUGUGUUCAUCCAGCCUCCCCGAUAAGUUUUUAGUUUCCGAACAUAACUUAGUUUAGAAAUCGAAGGGGUAUACUGAGACUUCCAUCCUUUAAUCAGGGUUGGACGAAGAAGGCGGAGCGGAUCAAGUGUCCGGCUCCGCUGCCCAAAAACCCAGCUGAUCCUCUGUUGACGAGGAUGCUGGUCCCGGCACCGUACCAGGCGCCGGAGAAGAAGGCCAGGAAGAAGGGCAAGGAGGCCAAAGACGGCCCCCGCCGUAAAGGUACUCCGGACGCUGUGUCCAGGGAUUCCGAAGCUCUCUCCUCCCACGCAGGAGAUGAAGACGAAAAGGAGGAGGAGGGAGAGAGCGAUUCUCCCCUUAAGGGGAGGAAGAAGAAAAGAACGGCCUAUGCAGACCUAGAGGCGGAGGCACCCAAGAGGAAGGAGAUGCCCCUUUCGGAUGACUCGGAUUCGGAUGCCGAAGUCAUCGGCGCCCCAGGUCGAAGCCCCUGGCCGAUUCGUAAGUAUCCAAGGAUGCCUUACAUAUAUCAGCAUUUCAUGAUUGCAAUUUUUAAUACAUUAUAUUGUGUGUUUCAGUCCAUCCCGCGAUCUCCCCCAACUAUCAUCAUCUCCAGGGAACUUGCUGGAGCCGGGGAUGGUGGAGAGCGAGACGCCUCCGCGGGCCUCUCCUCCAAUCGCUACGGACGACACCAAAUUUUUAUCUCGAAGAGCCCCUCCAGGCCAUGGGAAGGCGCGGGAGGCUGCCAAGACGGCGCCGGAGCGGUAGCGAGAACUGCGGGUCUGCCGUGAUGUGUUCGGCUUGAAGUGCCUAAUCGGAUCUGCUAAGUGCAGACCUCGGCAGUUUGACGUGGUUGCCCAGAGCCAGGUUUAGGCCUGUGUCUGGGUCUUCAGAAGGGGGUUCGAUUAGGGAGAGAAGUCUGGUGGGGUUUAAGCUCCCGUCUUCGGACGGUGAGACCAGCCCCAGAUCCAAGGCCGAGGCGAGUGCCGGUGUUGUCCUCUGGACGGGAUCCGACGGGAGAUCCGAAGAGACUUCUUGGAUGGGACGCAGAGUGGCGGCCGAGGCCGCAGACCCAUCAAAAACGAGAUCUCCUGACCUGAUCUGAUGACCGGGGCGUAGCUGUCGACCUGCUCAAGGAGGCCGAUCAGGUUGGCUCGAAGCACAAAGCCACCGAAUACAAAAACCUGCCCGGGAAGAAAAGUCUCCCUGGACACAGCAUCAUCGUUGACGAAAAGGCGAGCCAUUGAUCCUUCUGUCGAUGAUACAACGGAGCUCUCAAUGAAAGCACCAAUGUCGGUGUCAAAACCGGCAGAUCUCAGGUUGGGGAGCCCAAGCUGUACGUGUGAAGAUCGAUGGUAACAGUGGAGAAGGGACACGAUGUUUACCCAGAUUCGGGCCCUCUUAAUGGAGGUAAAACUCUACUCCUGCUAGAUUAUAUUUGAGGGUAUAGAGGUUACAAGAGUUGAUCUACCAUGAGAUCGAUUCGGCUAACCCUAACUAGCUAGCCUAACAAUAUUGUCUUCCUGCCUCCGUUCUACCCUCCAAUUUAUAUAGACACCAAAGGGGAUUAGGGUUUGUACAAGGUCGGUUUUUACAGAAAGGAAUAAUAUAUCCGGAUACAUAUACUUGCCAUCCACGCAUAGGAGAGUCCCCACCGGAUACGGGAGAGAAUCUUCGGUCUUGUAUCUUGAUGACCCAUCGAUCCAACCCACAUCAGCAGAUCGGGCGCCCGAGGACCCCUAAUCCAAGACUCCCACAGCGGUAGCGCGCGCUAAAAGUACUAAUUUUUCAACGCGGCGUUUAUAUAGCGCGGUUGUUGGAGAUGCUUUGAAGCUCAAAAAAAAAAGAAAAAAGAAGAUGAUGAUGAUGAAGCAAAUGGCACAAAUUCUCACAUGGCCACGUGAGUAGGAGAGGAACUGACACGUGAUGCACACAUGACACAUCACACCAGCGGUUGUGGCGAGGCAGCAUCGUUGUCCAAACCAGACCUCGCCAGAGAAUCCAACUCUCAACGCUCUGUAUUAUAGUCGUACAGUACCAAAUAAUAGUAAAUGUUCCCGCAAGAAAAAAAGUAGUAAAUGUACAAAAAUCAGAUGACCGUUACAACCUUUUACUAAUCCAUUCAGUGAUGCGAUCACAGAUUUGGGCCGUCUAUAUUUAACCACCAUCCAUUACUAGAACAAAACACACACACACACACCAACAUUACUCUGUCUGUACCCAAUGGGCUGGGUUCAGGUACGAUUAUUGGUCCAUCAAUGUCGGUUCAUGUUGUCGCAUCACAUCACACCAGCCAGCCGUGAUCGGUGCGGCACCGUCGCAUUUGCUACGACACGAAGAGAGCACCGGUGCAAGCCACUGAAGCCAGGACGAGCGAGCCGACGGGUGAUCAUCAUAUGACAUGGUCGGUACAGGGAGAAAGGAACGAGCCUGCCAUGGCUUUGAUUGCGUCCGUCGCGCGCGCGCGCACUGCUGGCUAAUCCGCCACCGGCGACGCUAGUCCACCAUUGAUGGUCACCGCACUGCUACGUGACACCGACCGACCUUAAAAGCGCCGUCGCCCACCGCGCCGCCUAAGCAUGAACAUCAAACACGAGACCUAUCUACCGAUGAACACAUUGUACAUCAUGACCACUAAGCACACUCCAAUCUUGCAUGCCUAUGAACAUUACUAGGCAUGCACAUCAAACACAGAACAAGCAUGAACACUAUCCUGCCUAUGAACAGUACCACACAAGAUGGGAUUGAAUCCAAUCCAUUCGAUUGGAUCGAAUCAAAUCAAAAUCGAUUCAUUGGCAAUGCUAAUAAUGAAAACCCUAAUCUACAAAUCUAUGAGCAUACGGAGAUUUGAUUCUUACUGGAGCGGGUGUAGCUCGAGCGUAUGCCAACCGGGGAGAAAACCUCGGCGGGAAGGAGAUGGCGGGCGAAGAGGAGGAGGAGACGCCAAAGCCGACGACCGUCGGCAUUGGCCCGAUGCUCUUGGCCACACACACGGUCGAGGAGGAGGGUGCCGUCGUCCAUGGGCCUGCCGCGAUGCCCGGAGAAAACCCUUGGAUGGGGGUAAAAAACCACCCUCACCCACAGGGGGUCUGAGCAGUGGCGCGGGGGCGGGGCCACCGAACCCAGGACCACGAGGUCCAGUAACAGCGGCGGACCUGGAGCGGCCGGCACCGCAUUGACCAGAGGAGGCGUCCUGGUGCAGAUAGGAGACGGCACGUGCAGAGCCCGCAUGAGAGCGACCCCGGAGUUCACUAAGCCAGCAACCCACCCGCUUGUGGAUGCGGGUGUUUGCCGGCGCUGAUGGGGCUCAGAGGACGGCGCGGCGGUGGACGACUCAUCGGAGGAGAGGAGAGCAACGGGUGAUGAGAGGAGAGUGGGGAAGCGUGGUGUGAAAGGGAGUGGGCGGUGACGAGAGAGAGAGAGAGNNNNNNNNNNNNNNNNNNNNNNNNNNNNNNNNNNNNNNNNNNNNNNNNNNNNNNNNNNNNNNNNNNNNNNNNNNNNNNNNNNNNNNNNNNNNNNNNNNNNNNNNNNNNNNNNNNNNNNNNNNNNNNNNNNNNNNNNNNNNNNNNNNNNNNNNNNNNNNNNNNNNNNNNNNNNNNNNNNNNNNNNNNNNNNNNNNNNNNNNNNNNNNNNNNNNNNNNNNNNNNNNNNNNNNNNNNNNNNNNNNNNNNNNNNNNNNNNNNNNNNNNNNNNNNNNNNNNNNNNNNNNNNNNNNNNNNNNNNNNNNNNNNNNNNNNNNNNNNNNNNNNNNNNNNNNNNNNNNNNNNNNNNNNNNNNNNNNNNNNNNNNNNNNNNNNNNNNNNNNNNNNNNNNNNNNNNNNNNNNNNNNNNNNNNNNNNNNNNNNNNNNNNNNNNNNNNNNNNNNNNNNNNNNNNNNNNNNNNNNNNNNNNNNNNNNNNNNNNNNNNNNNNNNNNNNNNNNNNNNNNNNNNNNNNNNNNGUGAAGGAAAUAUGCCCUAGAGGCAAUAAUAAAGUUAUUAUUUAUUUCCUUAUAUCAUGAUAAAUGUUUAUUAUUCAUGCUAGAAUUGUAUUAACCGGAAACAUGAUACAUGUGUGAAUACAUAGACAAACUGAGUGUCACUAGUAUGCCUCUACUUGACUAGCUCGUUUAUCAAAGAUGGUUAUGUUUCCUAGCCAUGGACAAAAGAGUUGUCAUUUGAUUAACAGGAUCACAUCAUUGAGAGAAUGAUGUGAUUGACUUGACCCAUUCCGUUAGCUUAGCACUUGUUCGUUUAGUAUGUUGCUACUGCUUUCUUCAUGACUUAUACAUGUUCCUGUGACUAUGAGAUUAUGCAACUCACGUUUACCGGAGGAACACUUUGUGUACUACCAAAUGUCACAACGUAACUAGGUGAUUAUAAAGGUGCUCUACAGGUGUCUCCGAAGGUACUUGUUGGGUUGGCGUAUUUCAAGAUUAGGAUUUGUCACUCCGAUUGUCGGAGAGGUAUCUCUGGGCCCACUCGGUAAUGCACAUCACUAUAAGCCUUGCAAGCAAUGUGACUAAUGAGUUAGUCACGAGAUGAUGCAUUGCAUAACGAGUAAAGAGACUUGCCGGUAACGAGAUUGAACUAGGUAUUGAGAUACCGACGAUCGAAUCUCGGGCAAGUAACAUACCGAUGACAAAGGGAACAACGUAUGUUGUUAUGCGGUUUGACCGAUAAAGAUCUUCGUAGAAUAUGUGGGAGCCAAUAUGAGCAUCCAGGUUCUGCUAUUGGUUAUUGACCGGAAACGUGUUUCGGUCAUGUCUACAUUGUUCUCGAACCCGUAGGGUCCGCACGCUUAAGGUUUCGAUGACAGUUAUAUUAUGAGUUUAUGAGUUUUGAUGUACCGAAGGAGUUCGGAGUCCCAGAUGAGAUCGGGGACAUGACGAGGAUCUCAAAAUGGUCGAGACAUAAAGAUCGAUAUAUUGGACGACUACAUUCGGAGUUCGGAAAGGUUCCGAGUGAUUCGUGUAUUUUUCAGAGUACCGGAGAGUUACGGGAAUUCGCCAGGGAGUAUAUGGGCCUUAUUGGGCUUUAGGGGAAAGAGAGAGGAGAGGUGGGCGCCCCCCAAGGCCUAGUCCGAAUUGGACUAGGGGGAGGGGCUGCGCCCCCUCCUUCCUUCUCUUCUCUUCCCCCUUUCCUUGACUCCUACUCCUACUACUUGGAAGGGGGGGAAUCCUACUCCCGGUGGGAGUAGGACUCCUCCUUGGCGCGCCUCCUCUUGGCCGGCCGCCCCCUCCCCCUUGAUCCUUUAUAUACGGGGGCAAGGGGGCACCUCUAGGCACAACAACAAUUGAUCAUUGAUCUCUUAGCCGUGUGCGGUGCCCCCCUCCGUUCUCAAAUAUUUGUCUUUGUAGUCAUUUCAAAUGGACACAACAUACGAAUGUAUGAGACAUAUUUUAGAGUAUAGAUUCACUCAUUUUGCUCCGUACGUAGUCACUUGUUGAUAUCUCUAGAAAGACAAAUAUUUCGAAACGGAGGAAGUACUAUUAUAAUAAUACGUACAAGUACCAAAGAGUACAUGUACAAAAAUCAGAUGACCGUUACAACCUUUUACUAAUCCAUUCAGUGAUGCGAUCACAGAUUUGGGCCGUCUAUAUUUAAUCACCAUCCACAAAUCCAUUAGUACUAGAACAAAACAAAACACACACACACACACAAAACAUGAUGGGUUCAGGUACAAUUAUUAGUCCAUCAAUGUCUGCUCAUGCUGUCGCAUCACAUCACACCACACCAGCCAGCCGUGACCGGUGCGGCACCGCAGCAUUUGCUGCGACACGAAAAGGGCACCGGUGCAAGCCACUGAAGCCAGGACGAGCGAGCCGACGGGUGAUCAUCAUCAGACACGGUCGGUACAGGGAGAAAGGAACGAGCCUGCCAUGGCUUUGAUUGCGUCCGUCGCGCGCGCGCGCACUGCUGGCUAGUUCGCCACCGGCGACGCUAGUGAGUCCACCAUUGAUGGUCGCCGCACUGCUACGUGACCCCGACCGACCUUAAAAGCGCCGCCGCCCAACGCGCCGCAGGGAACACGAGUUCAAUAAUGCCACAUUUCCCUAGACCGUGAGCUUUAACCUGACAUCUGCUAGCACAAAGCAUGCAAAUUACAGGAGCAAGCAGGCUAAAAGUGUUGUUAUACCAGUAGAUCAGACAUGCUAAUUCAACCCUAUGGCCUAUCGCCGAAAGUUUUUGUAGUAAAAAAAAGGAGGAGGAGAGUGAGCGAGUGAGUUUACCAUGAAAAGCAGUCACUGAAAAACAAAGAUGAUGGUUGGCCAGCGGCAGCGCGGCAGUGGCAGCCAUCAGUACACAGGACACAGCACGCGGCUGCCGCACCUGGCUGGCGAGCAUGGCCAUGGCAAUGGCAGUGCACUGGCAGUUCCAACGAGACAACAGUCUAGUUUUAUCGCUUAGCCCCCCUGGGCCAUUCCUUGCGCUGUGCCGUGUCCGGUGUCCCGUGUGCGGCCGUGCAGCUGCCCCCGGACCACCACCUCACGUGACAUUCCGCUGACGCGCGGGGCCGCCUACCACGUGCGUGAGAGAGGAGGUUGGGUUGGGUGUAAACGCAACGCGGUAGUACUAGUAUGAACAGUCGAUCGGUCAGGAAAGAUUCGCGCCAAGUCAAAGCUGCUCCGACGCCGCCGGGCCCCGCGCGAGCAGGCUCAGGCUGACACCGGACGGCGCGUAGCCCACCCACGAGUUCGUCCGUCCGUCCGUCAGCCGGGCCAGGCCCGCUGCCGCUGCAGCGAGGGCGAGGCGGGUGGGGCCCAUGAGCGUCGCGUCGGUGUGUACUGUGUAGCAAGGAGCAGUGCACUGAAAAAACAAAAUCGAAUGUGAAACGUGACGGCGGGAAGUUUUCGCCGUACUCUCUCCGUCGGCGCAGGAGGAGGAGCACCCACGGCGGCCGGCCCGUGCGCAUCUCGUCGGGCGCUCGCACGGCCGGCCCGGGCCCGGCCCGAGAACAAAAGUACAAGACCCACCGAGGAAGGAAUGUGGAGGAAGUAGUAGAGCAUCAUCUUCCUGCCUCCCACCCACGCGCCAUUUUUAAUCCGCGGAGAGAGAGGGAAGCCCCGCGCACCCCGCCCCGCUCCACUCAACUGCCCCCGCACUGGCGCCGUCCUCGGGGAAUGCGGCCGCGCGGCCGACCAUGCCACGCGCCGCGCCCGGGCUAGGGUUCCCCGCCGCAGCCGCCGACCCAGCGCCCGAGCGCCGCCACCCUCCGUCCUCCCGGCGGAAGAAGCCGCCGCCGCGCCGAAGGCGCCCCGCACCGCCAACGCCACCCGCGGUAAAAACCCUCUCCCCCCUAUCUAUCCCUCUUCCUCAUUGCGUCCACAUUGCCGUCUCAGGCCGGCCGCUCGCCGGAUUAUUUUACUGCUGCGAGUCAAUAGAUCCAAUCCAGAGCACGUCGCCGCACAUGCCCGCCGCCGAGGGCAGUCGAACUUCGAAAGUCGAAACACUCCGCGUAAGCAAGGGAUAAGGCCAAAAGAAAUUCGAACGGGGCUACCGCGUGCGUGGCCACGGCCUGCGUCGUCGCUUUUCUAUCAUUGCUGGCUCUUUUGUUCCGUUGCGUCGCCUUUUUUCCCGUUCGCUGUUUGGCGGUGACUGUGCCGUGCCCUGCCCGAGCUUGCUCGGUGGGUCGGUGCUCCGUCCCGGAUUUCGGUUUGCUGAGAGGGACGCUCCCUUUGUUUGGCUCCUUUUGCAGCCGCCGGAGGGGCCACGCGGUGCAGCCGAUCCAGAUCCGGGCCUCCUCCACCCCCGCGGCGGCAGCCACGCCUCGCGCGCCACAGCUCCCAGAGGUGGGUCAAGCGAUCCCAGUGCCCAGCACGCUCCGCAUUUUGUCUCCUCCUGCCGUCGCGGCAGCUAACCCCUUUCACACGCGCGCAGGCGAGGACGGCGACGACGACGAGGACGAGGGAGGCUACGACGCGGCGGGCUUGGAGGAGGCGGCGGCCGGCGACUCCUUCUCCCACUCGCUGAAAGGUAAUCCACUCCCCUCCCGCUCUACAUGAUGCCUUUGGUGUCGAGUGAAGUGAAGUGAUUGCUUACUGUUUGUUGGCUGUUCAGCAGAGUGCCAGAAGCAGCUGCAGCGCAGGGCGGAGGCGCGGCCGCCGGCGCCCGCGCAUGAGCUCGGCAACGGCGACGCGUUCGGGGGGAUCGAGCUGCUCGUGCUCUCGCCGAGGUGCUUGCUCGGGGCUGCCGUGGGAGGGAUGAGCAAGAGCUCGACCGCGUCGUCCAGAAGCAGAUCAGGCACGUUUCCGAGCCCCGGGACGCCCAACUACAACCGGCAUUGCGCUGGCAACAUGCAGUACCCCAAGGGCUGGAGCUCGGAGCGGGUGCCGCUGGGGGCAGGCGCCAACAGGAGGUAUGGGGGCAGCGGGGUCGUGCUCCCUUUCAACAAUGGGAGGAAGCUGCCGUCGAAAUGGGAGGACGCCGAGAAGUGGAUCCUGAGCCCGGUUUCCUGUGAUGGGAUGGGGAGGAUGUCGGCACCGGCGCCGCAUCAUAGACGGCCAAAGUCCAAGAGUGGGCCGCUUGGUCACCCUGCUGGUGUUCCAGGAGCUUAUGCAUCUGUUUCGCCGAUGAUUCCCUGCUUCGAUGGUGUUCUGGCGGCCGCUAAUUUUGCGGCUCAUUCGCCUUUCUCUGCCGGGGUUCUCAUGCCAGGGCACGCGCGCAACGGUGACUUCAGCAGUGGGAGAGCCAGAAGUGGGGAUGAUGGAAGCAGUAGGUCGUAUUCGGCUGAGAAGGAACCGUAUAUAUGGAGAUCAGCAAGUACACACGCGUGGACAGAAACACUUAUGGAGGCAUCUGCCUUUGCUCAUAUCUCAGAGGAAGCUGCACAAGGUUUGAGCUAGUUUCUUCUCAUCAGUAUCAAGCACAUUUUUGCUACUUCACAUUUUAUCUGCCUGAUUAGAUGCAACAAGAGAAGAUACUCAUAUAACGUACGGAUUCGAUCAUAAGAUAGAACUCCUACACAUGCCAAUACAUUGAAGUUGAACAAUUAGCAGAUUCUACAUUUCAACCCUGCAAUCGUCGUGUACCUCAAAUCAUACAUCACUUUUGGUUUACAUAGUUUGGACAUUCAAAAAGGCUUUCCCACAAUCAUAUAUAUGAAUGGUAGGGUGCAAGAAGUCUGUUAUUUGCCCCUUAAAAAAACCAGACGAAUAGCAGUAGUUUAGAAACCUAAAACAACGCUAUCGUGUGCCAUAGUUAUCUACUUUUCCUGCUCAAAUAAACUAGUUUCGAGUUUAUUUUAACCUGUAAUGCUCAAAUGAUCUUCAACGUUGAGAGAAAUCAGCCUUACUAUCUUAUACCCUGUACACAGAUGAUGUCUUACAAGGCCAACAAGGAGCAACUCCUGUGAUUUCCAGUCCAAUCAUAAAGAAAGAUGUUGCCACACAAAUGAGUCCUGAUGACAGUAUAAUAUCGUCCUCCCCAAAAGCGAGGCAUUCCUGCUCCAGCUUGCCGUCAGGACAUGCUAUUAGAGAAUCAAAUAGUCAUACACCUAAGGUUGAAGUUAGGGAUGUGCAGGUAGAUGAUCAAGUAACUGUUACCCGGUGGUCCAAGCGACAUGUAACACGAGGCUCUGAUAAGCGAUCAACAAAUAUUGUUGAAUGGAGGAAGAAGACUACAGAGGCCCGGGCUCCAUCUUUUGAUGAAAAAGAAAGAGAAAGAUGCAUAUCAAAGUAAGUUCUUACUUCAUGUUUGCCAUUUUGUUUACAAGUAAACUGAUUUGGAUUAGCACGAAGGCAUGCGCAGAGAAGAGAGUGCUUUCACUGUAGUGUUAUAACUGUUAAACUUAUACCCAUCCUGCUGUCAGAGUUCCCAGCAAGAGUUCCACAGAUGACUUGCUUUUCUGGAAAUGUUUGUUGUGAUUAAUGAAAAGGUCAUCCUACAGUGCCAAGCUAAUCUGGCUGUAUGCCUGACAGUGUACAGAAUGCAUAUGUAUAGGAAGGGUAAUGAGCUAAAUAUGGUAGCCGUUGCAAACCGAGUAUAGAUCUAGCUACUAUGCGGCCUCCUGAUAUGCUACUUGUGACAUGUUCUUAGUGGGCUAACUGAAUAAGCAAUCGACAGUCAACUGUGGGUUGGACGAACUUCCAAAAUUUGAAGUUGCAAAUUUAGCCGGAGUAACAUGCAAAUACUGCGACUGAAAUGACACACUCCAAAAGUUACCUUAUUGCAAUUUACCCAGUUUCUUUCUUCAUCAAACUGGUACAUAUCAGGUUACAAAUUUAAUUCAGUGCUUGAAGGUGUUUUAUGAUGUCAUAAGAUCACUUAUUACAGGUUCCCUUCUGGUAAGUAAAUUCCAGAGGGUUCCCAUCUUUAGAAUAGGAGGACAUAGAUUGUGAAAGGUUAUUUUUCUCUAAUUAGUAAGGUAGCAACUGGCAAAUAAUGAAAAGGAGAAAUCGGCACCAAUGGGGUGCAAUUGAUUUAUGGACUAGAUAUGCGCUUACAGUGUGUGAAUCCUAGAUUUCUAUGAUUCAUAGAAAUCAUACUUUUAGUUGUUUGCUAUGCAGUCUAAGUGAUGGUCCUGUUUUUCCAACUGUACACAAGAUAAUAAUGUUUUGACGUCCUCAGUUACUAUUGAACAUUAACUUCUAGUUAAGGACACAAAUUAUGACAUAUGUCGUGUUGCUGAUACCUAGUAUUUUUUUUGUCAAGGUGCAAGAGAGAGGAAGCAAAGAUCACUGCUUGGGAAAAUCUGCAGAAAGCAAAAGCAGAGGCAGCAAUUCGGAAGUUGGAGGUAUUGUUUCUGGUUGUACACAAUCAGCCAUGUUUGCAUUAUUUCUAAUGUUUCUAUGCUUUGGCUACAGACUUACAUGUUCUGCCCUUUGUAUUACAGAUGAAGCUUGAAAAGAAGAGGUCAUCAUCGAUGGAUAGAAUUUUGGGCAAACUACGUUCUGCUCAAAAGAAAGCACAAGGCAUGCGCACUACAGUUUCUGUCAGUGAGGAUCAGUGUGCUGUCAGUGAAGAUCAGUGUGCUGUGAGGGCAACCAAGAAGGCAUCCUUGAGAAGGACUAGCAAGCCUUUCAGCUGCUGUUUCACCUAUCAUGCUUGCUAGUUGUGAUAUGGUUGGUAUCUACAAUGAUUGUAGAAACUUUUUUUGGUGAGUUACUUUGCUUGCCAUACUUAUCUGGAUCUCUGUUAAACGCGUACAUAUUUGGAAAAGUUAAUAUUAGCCCCCCAUUUUUUUGCUGGAAAGAGAUUCAUUUCAUCAAAUAGGGUUUCCAGAGGGAUGGUCCAAACUGGAAUUUUCAAUUGGACUACAGCUUAUCAGCAUGCAGUACGUUGGAGCAAAAUUUGCUAAAGACAUGGCUUGCCCUAUUUUGAUAACAAUGAAUCUUCAUAAGCUUGAUCUCCCUUUCUGAAGCAAUAUGGCACUUUGCUUUUUGAACUAGACUUGAAUAUCUCGUCAUGUCUGACAGUCCCUUGACUAUUGGUUGAGUGUAGAUUUGGAAUUUGGUCCAAAUUCUUAAACCGUUCGUUUUUCCUUGCAACGCGUAAUUCCAUGCACCUAUGGUCCCUAGGAGUGAUUUGGAUGGUCCCAUUGCGGUGCUGACUGAUAUGGUGUGUAGGUGUAUGUGGCAUAACCAGUUGGCUACCGUGUGUUUGUCAAAGUUUGAAACAGGGAACAAAUUAUAUAUUUUUGUUUAAAAAUAGAUUCCAUAUUAUAGUUUGAGGGCCCAUUCUCUGUUACAUAUAAAUAUAUAACUACAUUGUCCAUGCAAAUAGUUUUGAGUGCGAAUUCUCUGUCACAUAUAAUUAAAUUGUUCAUGUGUAUAGUGUGAUGCUUGCAAAAUUUUGUAUGGUUAGUAACAGCCUUGUAGUGGUCUAGUAAUAAAACUUGAACUAAUAUUACUCAUGUAUCUUCAGAACCUUUGCAGCUCAAGUCAGCCGGCAGACAAACUGAAGUUAGACUGCAAAUGUCCGCCGUUGCAGCUGGAGAUAGCAGGAGUAAUUAGAAGAAGAGAGCUUAGCGCGGUCUGAUGAAUCAAAGUUUUGGAGCAAAGCCCACUCUUGUAGCUGAUGAUAUGGAGUACUUCACUCGGUACUCUGUAUCUGUAAACCAAGCAAGUGCUGUAGAUCAGGAAGCUCCCUUCUCGAGCUUUUCUCUAGUUGAACUCCGGACUGAUCGGCCGGUCCUCAUGGGCUGCCUGAUGCUGUGUACUGUAUCUUUGCCAUGGAAUUCUGUAUGUAGUUUCAAGCAUUGGGGCUCCAGUGUCAAAUAUUGGAUUCAUUGAACAAAGUUGUGAGAGCCACAAGCUAGAGGCACUUGACAGCAAGGCCUACAAACAAAGCUAGAGAUGGGAAGAAGUGAUUUUUUUGUUUUUGUUUUUGUUUUGAGAAGAGCUGGGAAGAAGUGUUGGCUGGUCUUGGAAUGCUUUCGACGUGGACGGUUGGCUCGGCUGCCGUGGCCAACGGGAGACGGUUGUGCCGUCGGAAGCAAAGCCAAGCCACAUCAAUUCAAACAGAAAAACGGAAAGUUGGGCAGUACUCCGGGUUAUCCAAGACGCUGCUGCUAUGCGUCGGACGGAGCUCUGGACGAGUCCACCACUCGGCCAAUGAGCCGCUUCCAGCGCGCAGUCGUCCACGCACCCACCUACCUUUUGCGUUCGUCGUUCGUUUCUCCGCGUCCUGUGCUUGUGUAUAUCCUACCAGUUCGUUUCGUGGCCGCCGCCGCGUGCGCACGCAUGCCAGAUGAUUCAGCAUAUAUCCAUAUCGCUUAUCAUCAUCCCUGUCCGUUUCUCCAUUGCUUCGCUUCUUCUCCUUUGCCUCCGACGUGACAAUGCUCACGCUGCGCCUGCGUGAAACUAUGUACACAUUUUUUUUCCCAAAGAUAACUUUCGAUCCAUUCAUCACCUGCCAUGGUAGUAAAUAAAUAACAAAAAAUCACAUCCAUGUUUAUAAACCACCUAGCGACGACUACGAGCACUAGAGCGAGUCGAAGGCGUGCCGCCGUCAUCGCCCCUCCCUCACUUGAACCGGGUCAAACUUGUUGAAGUAGGCAGUUCGGGAAGUCAUCAUGCUAAGACCACACGGGGCUAGGGCAUUAGAACAACAAUAGUCGCUGAUGAAGAGAAGUAUAGAUCAAAAUGAUACAACCUAUAGACACAUAAAUGAAGACACACAAAGAUUGGAUCUAAGCAGAUCCACCGAAGACAAGCACCAACCAAAUUCCACGAGAUCCGUCGAAGACUCUCAACACGCCCUCCGACAAUGUUAAACGCAUCAGCAGAAUGGGGGCUAGACGAGGAGAAUCUUAUUCCAUCUUUAGGGAGGCGUCAUCGCCUCGUCUUCCUAAGCAGGAUGCAAAUCAUAAAUGAGCUCAGAAAACACCUAAAACAGAGUAAGAGGCCGGCUAUGGCUGGGGGUCCACCGUGCCUCCAUAGUCUUACGGCCAUCAAUGGAAGGCAUAAGAACCCUAAGCUUUUUCCUUGAAGAGGAGGCGGUGGUUGUGUUCGGAAAUUCUGUACACACUACGAGUUCCCAUUAAGUAACGGCAGCAUUGAAGGCAUCAUGAAGAUCAUGGGUACGUAUCCUAGGGCGCAACCGAUUGUAGGGCAACCGACUGCUCCCGUCUUGGUGAUGACCACCAUUGGUACUCGUCCGUCACGGAGUGUAGGAUCUGAUUGUAAACACUUAGUUCGUUGGUGAAGAAGCCCUAGCUUUUGAUAUGUUGGGUUGUAACUUCAAUGGGCAUAAUGUGUUACCCCAUGGCUCAUUACCUUUUGGUCCGUAUCUUUGAUGGGCCCGGAUCCUUGGCUAGCCCAUUAUGUAUCUGUGGGCCUACCCCAUAGGUAUUCCUCUGUAAACCACUCACUGUUCCGAUAUCGACUAGGAUAAAGGUGUCAAUUUUAUCAUGGGCACGGUCAUUGUUUAUAAAAUAAAAUAAAAUACGAUACAAGUAUUUUAUUUUCUCAUGCUUCUCACUCACUAUGUAGAAUAGGAUUAUUCAUGUGCUCAUCAUUAGUAUUUAAUGUGUAAAUCAAUUUAUAGUAAUACAACAAAGUUAUCUAUUUGUAUGAUAGAGCAAAAAAGAUAACUUUUAGUUAAUGACAUAGAUGAGUUACGAGCUAACUUGUUUUUUAUUGCAAUAUGUAGAGAGGUAUAAAAUGUGAACUUGUGGAAUGGAUUCAUCAGGAGUGGCCUGACUCAAUCAAGAAGGCUCUGCAGGGCUCUGGGAUAGGUAUGAGUAGACCAAUAAACAAGAAAUUAAAGACAAACUUGAUCAAAUGUAGAUCAAUUCCCAUCUUCAUGCGCGAAAAAGAAGCUAGACGAGCAAUUUGAUAAGCUUAAUGAGGAUGGCAGUAACAUAAUGGACCAAACAGAGCAGAGGGUGGAAAACAUGAACUUGCAUAGGAUAAGUAGGGGGAAUGGAGAUCAUAAUAGGAAAGAACAAGCUGAUAAAGACAGGGCUGAGAUGGACGAAGAGAAUAAGAGGCUCAAUAAUCUUAUUGUCCAGCUGAAGUCAAUUUAGGUUGCCCAAGAAGGUGUGAUCAGAAACUUGAAGAAAGAGAGAGCAUGUUCAAGGAGAAGAAGCUGGAGUAUGGCAUUUCUGACCUAGUUUCAGAUGGUGGGGGUGAUCUAAGAGCAAGCUAAAGAGGAUCAAUCGAAUUUGUGAUGAAUGAUGUAGUGAUGCAGUUCGAAUCACCUUUUGCUAUGUGUGGUGCCUAAUGAAUAUCUAUGUCAACAAUGGUACCUGGAGAACUAUCUAUGUUUUGUAUGAUUAAGUUUGAAUCAUGAGAACUUGAGAUGUAGUAGUAAUGAUUGUGAGUAGUUGAUGAAUGCUGUUAUGUUUGAUUUAGUUUGAAUCCUGAUAACUUGGUAUGUAGUUUAAAUUUUUGGCACUGGCAUGCUCGAUGGUAUGUUUGAGUGAUGCAUGUGUUAUGUUUGAUCCACAUGAUGAAGUUUUAAAAUUACCAGGAAGUUUUAGCAUUUUGGCACUGGCCUUGCUAGAUGUAUGCAUUGAGGUCAAAUGGAUUGCAUUGAGUGACGCAUGGUGUUAUGUUUGAAACCAAAGGUGAUGGAUUUCACAAUGGUUAUGUUUGAAACCAUUUGUGCGGUCAACUGUGAAUAAAAAAUGAUGGAUCAAUUUUGAACAAGAGGGAUCAAAGUCACCUUGGAAUACAUUGGCCAUCCAAGGUACACUGACAUAAAUAGUUCAAGCAUAGAGCGAACUACAAUGACAUGGAUAGAGCAAACUACAUAAACACCACUAUCAUAGAUAAUUACAAGAUUAGUUCAAAGGCUCUCCCAAAUACUCUGACAUGACUCCUGACAUGCAUGCAGAGACUAAACUGGCCUGAAUUGGCGUGAUAGAAUCCUUGUGACGCACUCCCAUCUCGCUGUCUGAAUAGGAUCUGCCACACCGGCUUCAAGCAUAGCCCGCUACACUGUCAAUCCCGGUGUAGCCGCUUGCCAGCCCUGCUGCAUCCUUUGUCUCCCCACCGGGGUGGCCUCACUUCGAUGAGUAGAGGCAGCUGCCGGUAGAACCCUGUCUGCCCUUCACUUGAUCACCGAGAGCUGAACCGCUGAUAGGCCUCCAUGCUCAUAUGGAACAUUCACGUAGAUCGAACAUGCACACGCUCUUUGCAAGAGCGCCUUGAUCCUGUUGGAGAUAUGCCCUAGAGGCAAUAAUAAAAGGGUUAUUAUUAUAUUUCCUUGUUCAUGAUAAUUGUCUUUUAUUCAUGCUAUAACUGUAUUAUCCGGAAAUCGUAAUACACGUGUGAAUACACAGACCAUAACAUGUCCCUAGUGAGCCUCUAGUUGACUAGCUCGUUGGUCAACAGAUAGUCAUGGUUUCCUGACUAUGGACAUUAGAUGUCAUUGACAACGGGAUCACAUCAUUAGGAGAAUGAUGUGAUGGACAAGACCCAAUCCUAAGCAUAGCACAAGAUCGUGUAGUUCGUUUUGCUAGAGCUUUUUCAAUGUCAAGUAUCUCUUCCUUAGACCAUGAGAUCGUGUAACUCCCGGAUACCGUAAGAGUGCUUUGGGUGUAUCAAACGUCACAACGUAACUGGGUGACUAUAAAGGUGCACUACAGGUAUCUCCAAAAGUGUCUGUUGGGUUGACACGGAUCGAGACUGGGAUUUGUCACUCCGUAUGACGGAGAGGUAUCUCUGGGCCCACUCGGUAAUGCAUCAUCAUAAUGAGCUCAAAGUGACCAAGUGUUUGGUCACGGGAUCAUGCAUUACGGUACGAGUAAAGUGACUUGCCGGUAACGAGACUGAAUGAGGUAUUGGGAUACCGACGAUCGAGUCUUGGGCAUGUAACGUACCGAUUGACAAAGGGAAUUGUAUACGGGGUUGUUCGAAUCCUCGACAUCGUGGUUCAUCCGAUGAGAUCAUCGAGGAGCAUGUGGGUGCCAACAUGGGUAUCCAGAUCCCACUGUUGGUUAUUGCCCGAGAGCCGUCUCGGUCAUGUCUACGUGUCUCCCGAACCCGUAGGGUCUACACACUUAAGGUUCGGUGACGCUAGGGUUGUAUAAAUAUGAGUAUGAAGCAUACCGAAUGUUGUUCGGAGUCCUGGAUGAGAUCCCGGACAUCACGAGGAGUUCCGGAAUGGUCCGGAGGUGAAGAAUUAUAUAUAGGAAGUGAUAUUUCGGCCAUCGGGAAAGUUUCGGGGUCGCCCGGUAUUGUACCGGGACCACCGAAAGGGUCCCGGGGGUCCACCGGGUGGGGCCACCCAUCUCGGAGGGCCCCAAGGGCUGAAGUGGGGAGGGGAACUAGCCCAUAGUGGGCUGGUGCGCCCCGCUUGGCCCACCCCCUACGCCUAGGGUUGAAACCCUAGGGUGGGGGGGGGGGGCACUUGCCUUGGGGGGUACUCCACCCCCUUGGCCGCCGCCCCCCUUGGGAGAUUGGAUCUCCCAGGGCUGCCCCCCUGGGGGCCUAUAUAAAGGGAGGGGGAGGGGGCAGCCGCACCCUGAAGUUCUGGCACCUCCCUCCCCCUGCUACACCUCUUCCUCCCCCGUCACGUGCUUGGCGAAGCCCUGUCGGAGUGCUGCUGUUCCACCACCACCACGCUGUUGUGCUGCUGCUGGAGCCAUCAUCAUCAACCUCUCCUUUCCCCUUGCUGGAUCAAGAAGGAGGAGACGUCAUCCGCUCCGUACGUGUGUUGAACGCGGAGGUGCCGUCCGUUCGGCGCUAGGAUCUCCGGUGAUAGGAUCACGACGAGAACGACUACUUCAACCCCAUUCUUUUGAACGCUUCCGCUCGCGAUCUACAAAGUGGUAUGUAGAUGCAUCUCCCAUGACUCGUUGCUUAGAUGAACUCAUAGAUGGAUCUUGGUGAAACCGUAGGAAAAUUUUUAAUUUUCUGCAACGUUCCCCAACAGUGGCAUCAUGAGCUAGGUCUAUGCGUAGUUCUCUAUUGCACGAGUAGAACACAAUUUUGUUGUGGGCAUAGAUCUUGUUAACUUGCUUGCUGCUACUAGUCUUAUCUUGCUUCAGCGGUAUUGUGGGAUGAAGCGGCCCGGACCAACCUUACACGUACGCUUACGUGAGACCGGUUCCACCGACUGACAUGCACUAGUUGCAUAAGGUGGCUGGCGAGUGUCUGUCUCUCCCACUUUAGUUGGAGCGGAUUCGAUGAAAAGGGUCCUUAUGAAGGGUAAAUAGAAGUUGACAAAAUCACAUUGUGGUUACUCGUAGGUAAGAAAACGUUCUUGCUAGAAUCCAAUUGCAUCCACGUAAAAGAUGCAACAACAAUUAGAGGACGUCUAACUUGUUUUUGCAGCAAUUGUCAUGUGAUGUGAUAUGGCCAGAAGUUGUGAUGAAUGAUGAAUGAUAUAUUGUGAUGUAUGAGAUCAUGUUCUUGUAAUAGGAAUCAUGACUUGCAUGUCGAUGAGUAUGACAAUCGGCAGGAGCCAUAGGAGUUGCCUUUAUUUUUUGUAUGACCUGCGUGUCAUUGAAGAACGCCAUGUAAAUUACUUUACUUUAUUGCUAAACGCAUUAGCCAUAUAAGUAGAAGUAGUCGUUGGCGUGACAACUUCAUGAAGACACAAUGAUGGAGAUCAUGAUGAUGGAUAUCAUGGUGUCAUGCCGGUGACGAAGAUGAUCAUGGAGCCCCGAAGAUGGAGAUCGAAGGAGCUAUAUGAUAUUGGCCAUAUCAUGUCACUACUAUAUAAUUGCAUGUGAUGUUUAUUAUGUUUUAUGCAUCUUGUUUACUUAGAACGGCGGUAGUAAAUAAGAUGAUCCCUUAUAAUAAUUUCAAGAAAGUGUUCCCCCUAACUGUGCACCGUUGCUAAAGUUCGUCGUUUCGAAGCACCACGUGAUGAUCGGGUAUGAUAGAUCCUUACGUUCACAUACAACGGGUGUAAGAUAGAUUUACACAUGCAGAAUACUUAGGGUUAACUUGACGAGCCUAGCAUGUACAGACAUGGCCUCGGAACACAGAGACCGAAAGGUCGAACACGAGUCGUAUGGAAUAUACGAUCAACAUGGAGAUGUUCACCGACGAUGACUAGUCCGUCUCACGUGAUGAUCGGACACGGCCUAGUCGACUCGGAUCGUGUAACACUUAGAUGACUAGAGGGAUGUCUAAUCUGAGUGGGAGUUCAUUAUAAUAAUUUGAUAAGAUGAACUUAAUUAUCAUGAACUUAGUCUAAAACCUUUGCAAAUAUGUCUUGUAGAUCAAAUGGCCGCCGCUCAUGUCAACAUGAACUUCAACACGUUCCUAGAGAAAACCAAGCUGAAAGAUGAUGGCAGCAACUAUACGGACUGGGUCCGGAACCCGAGGAUCAUCCUCAUAGCUGCCAGGAAACAAUAUGUCCUAGAAGGACCGCUAUGUGAUGCACCCGUCCCAGAGAACCAAGACAUUAUGAAUGCUUGGCAGUCUCGCGCUGAUGAUUACUCCCUCGUUCAGUGCGGCAUGCUUUACAGCUUAGAACCGGGGCUCCAAAAGUGUUUUGAGCAACACGGAGCAUAUGAGAUGUUUGAGGAGCUGAAACUAGUUUUCCAAGCUCAUGCCCGGGUCGAGAGAUAUGAAGUCUCCGACAAGUUCUAUAGUUGUAAGAUGGAGGAAAAUAGUUCUGUCAGUGAGCAUAUACUCAAAAUGUCUGGGUUGCACAACCGCCUGUCCCAGCUGGACAUUAACCUCCCGGAUGAGGCGGUCAUUGACAGAAUCCUUCAGUCGCUCCCACCAAGCUACAAGAGCUUUGUGAUGAACUACAAUAUGCAGGGGAUGGUGAAGACCAUUCCUGAAGUAUUUUCAAUGCUGAAGUCAGCAGAGGUUAAAAUCAAGAAAGAACAUCAAGUGUUGAUGGUCAAUAAGACCACUAAGUUCAAGAAGGGCAAGGGUAAGAAGAACUUCAAGAAGGACGGCAAAGAUGUUGCCGCGCCCGGUAAGCCAGUUGCCGGGAAGAAGUCAAAGAAUGGACCCAAGCCUGAAACUGAGUGCUUUUAUUGCAAGGGGAAGGGUCACUGGAAGCGGAACUGCCCCAAAUACUUAGCGGACAAGAAGGCCGGCAACACUAAAGGUAUAUUUGAUAUACAUGUAAUUGAUGUGUACCUUACCAGUACUCGUAGUAACUCCUGGGUAUUUGAUACCGGUGCCGUGGCUCACAUUUGUAACUCACAGCAGGAGCUGCGGAAUAAGCGGAGACUGGCGAAGGACGAGGUGACGAUGCGCGUUGGGAAUGGUUCCAAGGUCGAUGUGAUCGCCAUCGGCACGCUACCUCUACAUUUACCUACGGGAUUAGUUUUAAACCUCAAUAAUUGUUAUUUAGUGCCAAGUUUGAGCAUGAACAUUGUAUCUGGAUCUCGUUUAAUACGAGAUGGCUACUCAUUUAAAUCCGAGAAUAAUGGUUGUUCUAUUUAUAUGAGAGAUAUGUUUUAUGGUCAUGCCCCGAUGGUCAAUGGUUUAUUCUUAAUGAAUCUCAAACAUAAUGUUACACAUAUUCAUAGCGUGAAUACCAAAAGAUGUAAAGUUGAUAACGAUAGUCCCACAUACUUGUGGCACUACCGCCUUGGUCACAUUGGUGUCAAGCGCAUGAAGAAGCUCCAUGCUGAUGGACUUUUAGAGUCUCUCGAUUAUGAAUCAUUUGACACAUGCGAACCAUGCCUCAUGGCAAAAAUGACCAAGACCCCGUUCUCCGGAACAAUGGAGCGAGCAACCAACUUGUUGGAAAUCAUACAUACCGAUGUGUGCGGUCCAAUGAGCGUUGAGGCUCGUGGAGGAUAUCGUUAUGUUCUCACUCUCACUGAUGACUUGAGUAGAUAUGGGUAUGUCUACUUGAUGAAACACAAGUCUGAGACCUUUGAAAAGUUCAAGGAAUUUCAGAGUGAAGUAGAGAAUCAACGUGACCGAAAGAUAAAAUUCUUACAAUCGGAUCAUGGAGGAGAAUAUUUAAGUCAAGAAUUUGGCACACACUUAAGAAAAUGUGGAAUCGUUUCACAACUCGCGCCGCCUAGAACACCUCAUCGUAACGGUGUGUCCGAACGUCGUAAUCGCACUCUAUUGGAUAUGGUGCGAUCUAUGAUGUCUCUUACCGAUUUACCGCUAUCAUUUUGGGAUACGCUCUGGAGACUACUACAUUCACUUUAAAUAGGGCACCGUCUAAAUCCGUUGAGACGACACUGUAUGAAUUAUGGUUUGGGAAGAAACCUAAGCUGUCGUUUCUAAAAGUUUGGGGAUGCGAUGCUUAUGUCAAGAAAUUUCAACCUGAAAAGCUCGAACCCAAGUCGGAAAAAUGCGUCUUCAUAGGAUACCCUAAAGAAACCAUUGGGUAUACCUUCUACUUAAGAUCCGAGGGCAAGAUCUUUGUUGCCAAGAACGGAUCCUUUCUGGAAAAAGAGUUUCUCUCGAAAGAAGUAAGUGGGAGGAAAGUAGAACUCGAUGAAGUACUACCUCUUGAAUGGGAUAGUAGUGCAACUCAGGAAAAUGUUCCUGUGAUGCCUACACCAACUGAAGAGGAAAAUAAUGAUGAUGAUCAAGGUACUUCGGAUCAAGUUGCUACUGAACUUCGUAGGUCCACAAGGACACGUUUCGCACCAGAGUGGUACGGAAACCCUGUCCUCGAAAUCAUGUUGUUGGACAACGGUGAACCUUCGAACUAUGAAGAAGCAAUGGCGGGCCCAGAUUUCAACAAAUGGCUUGAAGCCAUGAAAUUCGAGAUAGAAUCCAUGUAUGAAAACAAAGUAUGGACUUUGACAGACUUGCCCGAUGAACGGCGAGCGAUAGAAAACAAAUGGAUCUUUAAGAAGAAGACGGACGCGGAUGGUAAUAUUACCGUCUAUAAAGCUCGACUUGUCGCUAAGGGUUAUCGACAAGUUCAAGGGAUUGACUACGACGAGACAUUCUCUCCCGUAGCGAAGCUGAAGUCUGUCCGAAUCAUGUUAGCAAUUGCCGCAUACUAUGAUUAUGAGAUAUGGCAGAUGGACGUCAAAACGGCAUUCCUUAACGGACAUCUUAAGGAAGAACUGUAUAUGAUGCAGCCGGAAGGUUUUGUCGAUCCUAAGAACGCUAACAAAGUAUGCAAGCUCCAGCGAUCCAUUUAUGGGCUGGUGCAAGCAUCUCGGAGUUGGAACAUUCGCUUUGAUGAGAUGAUCAAAGCGUUUGGAUUUAUGCAGACUUAUGGAGAAGUCUGCGUUUACAAGAAAGUGAGUGGGAGCUCUGUAGCAUUUCUCAUAUUAUAUGUAGAUGACAUACUUUUGAUGGGAAAUGAUAUAGAACUUUUGGACAGCAUUAAGGCCUACUUGAAUAAGUGUUUUUCAAUGAAGGACCUUGGAGAAGCUGCUUAUAUAUAUUAGGCAUCAAGAUCUAUAGAGAUAGGUCGAGAUGCCUCAUAGGUCUUUCACAAAGCACAUACCUUGAUAAGAUUUUGAAGAAGUUCAAAAUGGAUCAGUCCAAGAAGGGGUUCUUGACUGUAUUGCAAGGUGUGAGAUUGAGCUCGGCUCAAUGCCCGACCACGGCAAAAGAUAAAGAAGAGAUGAGUGUCAUUCCCUAUGCUUCAGCCAUAGGAUCUAUUAUGUAUACCAUGCUGUGUACCAGACCUGAUGUAAACCUUGCCGUAAGUUUGGUAGGAAGGUACCAAAGUAUUCCCGGCAAGGAACACUGGACAGCGGUCAAGAAUAUCCUAAAGUACCUGAAAAGGACGAAGGACAUGUUUCUCGUUUAUGGAGGUGACGAAGAGCUCGUCGUAAAGGGUUACGUCGACGCUAGCUUCAACAAAGAUCUGGAUGACUCUAAGUCACAAACCGGAUACAUGUAUAUGUUGAAUGGUGGAGCAGUAAGCUGGUGCAGCUGCAAGCAGAGCGUCGUGGCGAGAUCUACAUGUGAAGCGGAGUACAUGGCAGCCUCGGAGGCAGCGCAUGAAGCAAUUUGGGUGAAGGAGUUCAUCACCGACCUAGGAGUCAUACCCAAUGCAUCGGGGCCGAUCAAACUCUUCUGUGACAACACUGGAGCUAUUGCCCUUGCCAAGGAGCCCAGGUUUCACAAGAAGACCAGGCACAUCAAGCGUCGUUUCAACUCCAUCCGUGAAAAUGUUCAAGAUGGAGACAUAGAUAUUUGCAAAGUACAUACGAAUUUGAAUGUCGCAGAUCCAUUGACUAAACCUCUCUCACGAGCAAAACAUGAUCAACACCAGAACUCUAUGGGUGUUCGAUUCAUCACAAUGUAACUAGAUUAUUGACUCUAGUGCAAGUGGGAGACUGUUGGAAAUAUGCCCUAGAGGCAAUAAUAAAAGGGUUAUUAUUAUAUUUCCUUGUUCAUGAUAAUUGUCUUUUAUUCAUGCUAUAACUGUAUUAUCCGGAAAUCGUAAUACACGUGUGAAUACACAGACCAUAACAUGUCCCUAGUGAGCCUCUAGUUGACUAGCUCGUUGGUCAACAGAUAGUCAUGGUUUCCUGACUAUGGACAUUAGAUGUCAUUGACAACGGGAUCACAUCAUUAGGAGAAUGAUGUGAUGGACAAGACCCAAUCCUAAGCAUAGCACAAGAUCAUGUAGAUCGUUUUGCUAGAGCUUUUUCAAUGUCAAGUAUCUCUUCCUUAGACCAUGAGAUCGUGUAACUCCCGGAUACCGUAAGAGUGCUUUGGGUGUACCAAAUGUCACAACGUAACUGGGUGACUAUAAAGGUGCACUACAGGUAUCUCCAAAAGUGUCUGUUGGGUUGACACGGAUCGAGACUGGGAUUUGUCACUCCGUAUGACGGAGAGGUAUCUCUGGGCCCACUCGGUAAUGCAUCAUCAUAAUGAGCUCAAAGUGACCAAGUGUUUGGUCACGGGAUCAUGCAUUACGGUACGAGUAAAGUGACUUGCCGGUAACGAGACUGAAUGAGGUAUUGGGAUACCGACGAUCGAGUCUUGGGCAUGUAACGUACCGAUUGACAAAGGGAAUUGUAUACGGGGUUGUUCGAAUCCUCGACAUCGUGGUUCAUCCGAUGAGAUCAUCGAGGAGCAUGUGGGUGCCAACAUGGGUAUCCAGAUCCCGCUGUUGGUUAUUGCCCGAGAGCCGUCUCGGUCAUAUCUACGUGUCUCCCGAACCCGUAGGGUCUAAACACUUAAGGUUCGGUGACGCUAGGGUUGUAUGAAUAUGAGUAUGCAGCAUACUGAAUGUUGUUCGGAGUCCUGGAUGAGAUCCCGGACGUCACGAGGAGUUCCGGAAUGGUUCGGAGGUGAAGAAUUAUAUAUAGGAAGUGAUAUUUCGGCCAUCGGGAAAGUUUCGGGGUCGCCCGGUAUUGUACCGGGACCACCGAAAGGGUCCCGGGGGUCCACCGGGUCGGGCCACCCAUCCCGGAGGGCCCCAAGGGCUGAAGUAGGGAGGGGAACCAGCCCAUAGUGGGCUGGUGCGCCCCCCUUGGCCCACCCCCUGCGCCUAGGGUUGAAACCCUAGGGGGGGGGGGGCGCCCCACUUGCCUUGAGGGGUACUCCACCCCCUUGGCCGCCGCCCCCCUUGGGAGAUUGGAUCUCCCAGGGCCGCCCCCCCUGGGGGCCUAUAUAAAGGGAGGGUGGGAGGGGGCAGCCACACCCUGAAGUUCUGGCGCCUCCCUCCCCCUGCUACACCUCUUCCUCCUCCGUCACGUGCUUGGCGAAGCCCUGCCGGAGUGCUGCUGUUCCACCACCACCACGCCGUUGUGCUGCUGCUGGAGCCAUCAUCAUCAACCUCUCCUUUCCCCUUGCUGGAUCAAGAAGGAGGAGACGUCAUCCGCUCCGUACGUGUGUUGAACGUGGAGGUGCCGUCCGUUCGGCGCUAGGAUCUCCGGUGAUAGGAUCACGACGAGAACGACUACUUCAACCCUGUUCUUUUGAACGCUUCCGCUCGCGAUCUACAAAGUGGUAUGUAGAUGCAUCUCCCAUGACUCGUUGCUUAGAUGAACUCAUAGAUGGAUCUUGGUGAAACCGUAGGAAAAAUUUUAAUUUUCUGCAACGUUCCCCAACAGAUCCAUCAUAUCAUCCCAUGGAGGAUCCUCAUUGCCCAUUGCAUCUUCGCCUCCAGUCACAUCCUCUUUACCCCGUUGCACAUCCCCACCUCCAUUCACAUCGUCUCUGCAGGGGAGAUCAAGCAAAUCAGACUAGGAUCAAGCGGUGGAGGGGGGGUGGUGGAGGGAGCAGUGGAGGGAGCAGGGUGGCCGGAAAUCGAGAUCCACCGUGAGGUCUCAUGGAGGCGGAGAGGGUGGGAUAGGGAGAGUUACCAAAGGAGUAGGUGUUAGCCUGUGGCUAGGCGAGGGGGUGUUUUAAAAACGGGAGAGGAGGGGGGUGUUUGAAAAAGGGGAGCGAGGGGGGGGGUGUCCUUCAAAAACUCUCACACUCUCUCAAAUCCGUUGAGAACUCAUAACCUCUUGAACUAUAUAGAAAAACCCAAUGGAGUCAACAAAUUUCGUUGCUAACAAGACUAAUAUCUCUACUCUUAAAGGGGGAAUUGGUAGCCUAGUAUCCCGGUUUAUUUUCGUCUGUUUUUUUCUGCCUCACCUUUCACCACCCACACUGGAUUUUUCUCCCUUCCAUGAAAAAACCAAAUCUCAUUAAACGGGAGGUCUUUUUUCGUGCAUGCUUUGGUGGGCACUCACAAGAAUUCAGAAAUCACACCAUAUAUGUGAGAUCACCUUCCUUAAAGACAGACAUAAGAUUUCUCUCGAUAACCUUCCAAAACAAAAUCAGAUAUUUCUCAAUAACAAAUCACUAAUUCCGCGCACUAUGCCAUUUAUUAUUAUUAUAUCUACUACUAUUAAUUAAUAACCAUAAGUUUCCUAAUACAACAAAAAUAACAUAUCUUUCUUCUUAUGGGUGUACACAUCCGCGCGCCCCUGCAAAGGGGCGUCGUGUGCGACACCAUGGAGUACGCCGUGGUCGGACCUGACACCGGCAUGAUGCUCAAGAAUGUGAGGGUGUGAAUCACGGCAUUGAGUACGGCCAUGGCGGAAGGUAGGUCGUCGCACCGUCACAUACGUGCCUUCGUAGACGCAGUCAUAUUAUAUUUUUGGUCAGUCAUAGAGAGAGCUACUUUCUCAAAUCCAAUGUGACCACUGAAAUGUCAAGAAAUUCGUUAAGUAAAUAUGUCCUACAACACUCGGUAGUUCUCGUUCGUAGCAGCCAUUCAUGCGAAAAUAUUUUGGAAAUCGAGCGCUGAAUCAAUUUGGAAAUCAAACCAUUAAUGCAAUUGUUUAGGCCCAUUUAAAUAGGAAUUUUUUGCACCGAAUUAAUUUGGAAACUGAGCUAUUAAUGCAAUUAAUUAAUUAUGUAGACAAUUAAUUAUGCCUACAAAUAAUUAGAAGGAGGAUCUUUUCUAAUUAGGCAGAUAAUUAAUUGAUUUGGUUGACAAUUAAUAAAAUAUACAAAGAAUUAGGUAGGUCGUUAAUUAUUUGUGUAAUUAAUUAAUAAAGCAAGCAAUUAUUCGCACUCAAUCAUUUUGAGAGUGCUCGUGGGAAAAGACGAUCAACAUGCUCUCAGCGACAUAGUCGAGCACCACUUGACAACAUGGACAAUGGCCACCAUGCGCUCACGACAUGAGCGUCUCUAUUCCUAAAGGGAGAGUUGGUAGCCUGGUAGCCUAGUAUCCUGGUUUAUUUUUGUCUGCUUUGUUUGCCUCAACCCCCACCAUUUGGUUUCUCCCUCCCAUUAAACAAUUAAAUCCCAUUAAAAGGGAGAUAGUGUUUGCGUGCUUGCUUUGGCAGGUGCUUAAAUAACAGGUAACUAAAAAUUUAGAAAGCAUACCAUAUAUCUGAGAUCACCUUCCUAAAAUACAGAUAUAAUUUUUUUCAUGAUAACCUUCCAAAAAAAUCAGAUAUUCCUCACCAAUGAACUGCUAAUCGCAUGCACUAUACCAUCUAUUAUUAUCAUUAUUUGUACUAUUAAUUAGUUGACAAUCACAAUUUUUCUAAUACAACAAAAAUAACAUAUAUUUUUCUCUUGUGGGCGUACACAUCUGGGCCACCCCUAUGGAGGGACGCCGUGCGUGGCACCAUGCAGGACGGCAUGGCCGGACCUAAAGCCGGUGCGAUGGACGAGAAUGCCAGGGCGUGGACCACGGCGUCGAGGACAGCCAUGGCGGAAUGCGGGUCGUCCCAUCGCCAUGUACAGACAUUCGUGGAUGCAGUUAUAUUAUAUUUUUUAUUAGGCAUUACAGAGAGCCAUACAUGCUAUAUUCUCAAAUCAAGUGUGUACAUUUGAAUGUCAAGAAAUUCGUUACGGAAUGUGUUCUACAAUGCUCGGUAGUCAUUGUCGUUCGUAGCAGCCAUUCAUUUAAAAAUAUUUUAAAAAUCAAACACUAAAUCAAUUUGGAAGUCAAACCAUAAAUGUAAUUAAUUAGAUAGACAGCUAAUUACACAUGCAAUUAAUUAUGUCCAUUUAGAUAAGAAUUUUUUCCCAUCGAAUUAAUUUGGAAACCGAGUCAACAGUUAAUUAUGCCUAUAGAUAAUUAGAAGUAUGGGAUUUUCCAAUUAAGUAGAUACUUUAUUGAUUUGGAUGACAGUUAAUUAGGCAUGCAGAGAAUUAGGUAGGCUGUUAAUUAUUUGUAUAAUUAAUUAGGAAAGCAUUUAAUCACGCCGGAUCAUUUUGAAAGCGCUCGUGGGCAAGAACAAUCAACAAGCUCUCAAGUACAUGGGCCGAGCACUGUUUGCCAACAUGCAGAAUGGCCAUCACGCGCUCGUGACAUGGGCGACCUCGCGUUCACCAAGAUAAAUAUGACGACCAUGCUCUGCAGGAUGUCCACACGUUGAUGGUGAUCGAAACAUUCAUGGGUGAGAACAACACGAUACUACAUUGACCAGGUGGUUCAUGUUAUAGUAGAAAUGAAGAGUGUUCUAAGAAUAAGAAGGAAAAAGAACCACUAGUAGAAAAACACCUAAUAGUCCCGGUUCGUGAGGGCCUUUAGUCCCGGUUCAUGAACCGGGACUAAUGGGCCGUUACUAAUACCUCCACCCAUUAGUCCCGGUUCAAACUAGAACCGGGACUAAUGUGCCUCCACGUGGCUCUGUGCGCCGAGCCCAGUCAGGGGGCCUUUGGUACCGGUUGGUGGCUCCAACUGGGACCAAAAGUCCAUGUUUUUUUGGAAAUUGACUGCUUUAGGGGUUUUGGGGGUUAUUUUUAGGUUUUUAUAUUAGCUAGCUAAUAGAGAGAAGUGUCCUCUCUUAUAUCUUCGUCCUUGGUUUACCAACGCUGCUGCUAUAUAUGUUCAUUUUACCCGCUGAUAUAAUAACUCAUGCAUGCUCGCAUACAUCAGCAUAUAUAAUAACAAGUACUCGUCCUACUAAUCAUGCAUCAUCAUACAACUUCUACUCGUUAUUAAUAAUAAGUCAUACGAUCAUCAUCCUCAUAGUCAUCGAACCAAAUCCUACAUAAUUGUUCUUAACACAUGAUCAUCAGUAUCAGGUAGGACCUAAACACCCUUAAGGUAAAAUAGCAUAAAACAAUAUAGACCCUGACUCUCCAUUAUGAAGAAUGGCGAUCAUCCUGUCUCCAAUUUUUGCCUUUCGCUGAAUGUUGCUUCCAAGAAGCUCCUUACGACUGUCCAUAUAUUUUUUCCAUUCUUUGUUUCUCAGGUCUCCACUUAUUUUAGAAACCCGGUAUGGACAGUUGAGAUUUGUAGGACGACCUGGUUGUAUGUUCAAAACAUGAAGGCUACCGUGUGUAUAUACAUCAGAUGAGGCACACAAUCAUUCGGGAUUAUCUGUUGAAAAACAUAGUAAUAACUUCGUAGUUAGCAAUGAUAUGAUGUACUAGUUUUAGAAGUGUGCAAAAAGAUGCACGGAUGUUGUAAUAGUACAAAAAUCUUACCAGGGUAUCUCCAUGGUAGUUACCGUAGUUCAACACGUGCACUAGUGGCACGUAUUGACCAUAAUGUUGAGGAGUUCGAUUGUAGGCAUUGUAAUUCUCAAGAUCAGUACAAAAUGCGACUAGAUGAUUUUUCUCUUGAUAAGUUAGUUCGGAGCCUUCGGUGUAGUAGGUUCUGUCUACCAUCUUCCGCACAUUCUUUGAAGAAUGAAAAUAAGCUGUCAAUGGAGAAUAAGUUGUCAACUAUUUUGAAAUAAACAAUAUAAAUUACUUAAUAACUAUGUUAAGCUCACAUGGGGGAAGAAUUGGAGGUGUAUCCACAAGGACGAAAAUCGUAGGUCUCUUUUGCUCGAUUGUAGGAUCACUAAGAUCCAUGGUAACAAGCAUACCCUCAUCAAAACCAUACAUCUUGCAAAGUGCUUCCCAAUUUUUGCAACCAAAAUGGGUUACACUCUGAGCAUUGUACAACUUUACUUGAAAAUCCACACCAUGAUGGGUACUUAGGAUAAUUUUUUUGGUUUCAAAACUUUCAUGGUCUUCAAAACUCAUCCUCUCCAAGACAUAGCGUCUUGCAAAGCAUGGAAUAAGCUAGUCGAAUUGGAAAAGAUGAAAAAUAUUGUCAUGAUUAAAAUAGUUGAAGUCAUGAGUAAUUACAAAAAAAAAC